UUACGAGAAGCAGAGGCUGUCGAGGAUCGCGGAGAACAAGAGGAGGAUGGAGGCCCUGGGCCUCCGAAACCUGGCGAGUUCCGUGAUGGGUUCGAGUCGGAAGGCGAGAAAGGGCGACGCGAAGGGCAAAAGGAAGGUGGGCGGCGAGGACGACGACGACGACAACGACGACAAGGAUGGUGAUUACGCCCCUGCUUUGGACGGCGAUGGCGGCGAUGACGAUGAUCUUAGCGUCGACGAUGAGGAGGAUGAUCGGGAUUUUGAAGUAUCUGGGUCUGGUAAGACAAAGGUCGGUUCUUUUCUAUUGGGUAAUUCUUUAUCUGCUUCUGUUGUUUUUGCGUGAAUUGAAGUUCCUAGCGUAGUUGGCGUUUAAGGUUUAUGUGAAAAUGGGAAGGUCGGUUCAAGACAACGGAGUCAAGAGAAAGAAAUGAUCACAGAGUUUCUCAUUUCUUGAAUUUUUCUCAAUGAGGAUGACAAUGGGGCCAUUGAAGUGAAUGAAGUGAUUCGUCCUCGGGGGUCAUUAAUUUUUUGGCUUCGUGGCUCCGGCUUUAUUUCAUUCCAUUCCGAACUGUUGUGUAUUCACCACAUAUUGCGGUCACUCGGAAGUGUUGCCUAUAUAUUUCCUUCACAACGCUGGCUUUUUUUUGCUAGUAUAAUUUUUAGUUAAUGUUGUUGUGAAGUGUAUCCGGGAGCACUUUCUUCCUAGUUACCUCAGUUCUUUAGACUUCUUCACGAAGUGUUUUAUUCACAAAUAUUGCUGCAGUGGCUGCAUUGAGCGCCUUCUUAAUUAGAAUGAAUUUCUUAUGCUGCACCCAGAUUUUAUUGCUUCAUUGUGACAUUCUUGAAACUUCACGAGUGUUUCUAAGAAAUAGUUGGCCUAAUUAAACAGAAGACUAUCAUGAGAACAUCCAAGUUGGAUCCUAGGUAACCAUGAGAUUUUCGCCUUGAAGUGGCAUUGAAUACUUAGUUAUGCUGUUUGACUCGCCAAGAUUACCCAACUUAAGCAAAACUUUGUGCAGUUGGUUAGAAACUGUGUGAAACUUAAGUACACUUGCUGGCAGAUUAACAUGCCAUCUUUCCCUUCAUUUUUCCCUUAUUAUAAAUCCUCGAGAAUUUCAAUUAAAUUGUGUACUUUUAAUAUAUCUUGGCAUUUCAAACCUAUCACAAUUAAUUCCAAAAUUACAGUCUAAUUGUUUGUUGGCUACUUAUUUUGAAUUUCACUAUUGCUAAUUACUCCAGACUGCUUUUGUGAAGGAUGUUAAUUUGGUGAUACUCUAGUUGCAUGUACUGCAGUUGAAAAUACUGUUUUCACCAAAUUUGUUUAAAUAUUAAUACUACAGUUGAAUAAAUGAUUUAAUUACCAAAUAAUAUAGUGUGGGUUUUUUUAGUCAAAUUGACUUAUGGCUUUCAUUUAAGUUUAGCUUUUCCAGUGCUCUGUCUAUCCUCUUGGAGUGGGCUUUGGUGGAAGGCAGUUUUUCUUUCUGUAUCUCCUCUUAUUGCUUUUCAAGCAAUAAGAUUUCCAUUUAAAUCAGGAUUUAGACAACAAUAGGAAACCAUGGAUCUGAGGCGCACUUGGGAACUUCUAAGUAAGUUGUAGAUGUAUCAGUCUUGGACAUGUCAUUAUAGUAAUCGCAUUGGACAUAUUGAACAUCUGCAACUUCAUGUCCUUGGUUAUUUUAUGUUAAGCAAGAUUAGGGUGGUGUCGUAUGGAAGAUGCGCAGAUUCAUAAGUUAUGAACUUAGAGAAUUUGGCUAUGAUACUUAGUACCCAUUCCGACAUGCUUAGUUUGAAAUCAAUAUUGUUUUCCUUGUUUUUAGUCCUAUUCCAUUUUAAUAUUCAGAUCAGAUUUCAGAUAUAUCACAUAUCCCAGAGGUUGUGACAUGAGAAAAGUGAAAGGAGCUAAACCUGAAUUGUCGUUCCUAUUCUUUAAUGUAGGUGGAAGAAGUUUAAACAUUGAUGAGGGCAAAAUUGAUGAGCUGAAUUCAGCAAAUUAUUUUGAUCAUGUAUUAUUUUGAUAUGUCAUCUUAAUACCGAGCUUCUUGUCCUUCUUGGGACAAUCGACAUGUCAAUACCUUUGUAAUACUUCUGUCUUGCUUUGAAAUGUUGUUUUUCUUACCUUUUGUGACUAUCUCCUGCUCCAGGGAAAGAGAAAAGUGUCCAAACCAAGGAAGAAACCUCAGACCAAAAAGUUACUGAAUAAGUUGGAUUAUGUUGAUGAUGAUGCUGAAUUGGCGAAGGUAAAUCUAGUAUUUUCAUGAUUGUAAUAUUGUCAUUCUAGAGUGAAGCUUGGGUUUCAUCUCAGCAUGGAUUAGAAAUCUAUUACACGUUAGUAUCCGCAAGGUCAAUAUUGACAAAGUCAGUGGCAAAAUGCAGGCCAUUGUGCUGUCUCUGCAUGAUUCUGCUGGAGUUUCAGGAACAGUGAGCUCAGGGCCUCCUAAAAAUGCGGCUGGUGUAGAUCUUAAAGGCAGAGUAGAAAAGACUCAGGAAAAUCCUAGAAUGCUGAAGAGGAGAAAAACGGUUGUAACUCUUGUCCUAAUAAUUGUUUUAAGAGAAUUUCGUUUUCCUUUUCCUUUCCUAGCUGACUGUCUUUGUUUGUUUGUUUUCUUGUAAAUAAUUAUUGAUAUCCAGUUUACCAGCCGGGUGAAGAUGACUGAGGACGAGCUGAUUAUGCAUUUCUUUCAGUUUGAUGGUAAUUGAUGGUUAAUGGAGUUUCCAUUUCUAUGUUUGUCAGAUGAUGGAUGCAUAUUUUUCACAUUCUUUCCUUCAUAUAUAUAUAUAUAUAUAUUUUGGCAUUGAUGGCUGUGGCAACCACUUGUUGGUUUCGCACAUCAGGUUCACUUGUUCUUGUGCAUCAUUAGUCCAAAUGGUAGGGAGGUUCAGAGAAGCUAAUUUAUUGUUAGGCUGAAGCAUUCGCAUCCAGGAAAUGAACAUCUAUAGUAGGUCAAUCUGGAGGGAGAUAUUUAUGCGCUGCAAGUCUUCCAUCCCUUUCUUUAGUCAUGGUUUGAAAGGUGAUAUUAAACUUUUGAGACCUGGUGGAUGUUGGUUUGCUAGUAUAUAGUUUUGAGAUACGUUGCUUCUUGAUUACUGUGAUAUUAGAAACUGCCAAAAUAUGUCACAGAAUAUCAAUUUGACUAGAAGGUUUUUUCUAUGUUCCUCUGGUUACUAACAAUGAGAGUUUCUUAUGUGGGUAUUACGUGGACCUUUUUUCUUUCUGUGGCUUGUGAUCUUACUGUUAAGUGGGUACAUCUAGCCCUUCCUGGACCUCACAUUGUGGGAGGCUGGGCAAUAGACACCCCUUUUUGGCUUGUGAACCUUUUGUUUCUGGAACUGAUGAGCUUGCAUGUGUCAUGCAGAAGUGGGGAAGGGUGGCAUCACUGUGCAUGAUUUAGCCAAAGUUGCUGAUGCUCAUGAUUUUACAUGGACAGACGAGGAACUAGCCAACAUGAUUCACUGCUUUGAUAGCGAUGGAGAUGGAAAGGUCCAGCCUAGUACUAUUUUUGUUUCAUCUCCAGUCCUGCACGCAAAUCCUUUUGUCAACCGCAUUGCUGUGGACUGAACUAUUAUGAAAUUUUGAAAAAAGGUCUCAGCAUCAUUAAUUUAAUUGACUGCAGUGUUAUGAAAUCUCAUUAAACAUCCAUGAGGACAGAGUAUCUGUUGUUGAAUAGAUAUAUAAUUAAGUUAUGGGUCUUGGCAACACUUGUUAACCAUACUUAAUAAAGAAAUGUUUUUAUUUCAUUUAUUAUGCAUAAUACAAGAAAGAUGGUGCAUUGGAAAUGACAAACUUUCUUUAUUGAGGUUUUCAAGAAGUGCUUUGGCGGCACUUGUUAAUGAAAUUCUUAAAUUAUUAAUGCAGAUCAAAAUCUAGGCAAUUUUAGAAAUUAUCUUGCAUUAAUGUCCAUGUUUCAAGAAUCGAACAAUACUAAAUAUGACUUAACUAUAACUGUCUGGGAAAGUAUCACCAACUUGAUUUAAUCAUAACAAUGGGGUAGUGAAAAUAAAUGAGGUAAUAUGCUGGCAAGACUAGUCAUGCCCUGGAAAGUGUGGCAAAAAGGAUUCUGUUAGGAUAUGAAUUUUUACAUAGUUAUUUUAAGGUCAAUCUCUAGUUAGAUCUUUUAGUUAGCCCACUCUUGGCAUCGGAGAAUGUAAUUUUCUCCAUCUCCAUCUAUCUCUUUUAUUUUUAGAUCUCCUUUGCUAGAUUGAAUAAAUUUCUAGUAAUGUUAUGCAAAGGAAAAACAAUUGCCAACAAUAGUAUUAAGGAUUUCUUUUCUUAGGAAUCAACAUAAAUUUAAUGAUGUAAAGUAAACUGGGGAUUGAAUGUUGAUUCUGGUUUUGGGUCUUUAGGAAGUAAACUAUCUGUUUGUGGCGUGACUUAUCUGUCUAUGUUACAGCUAAGUCUUGAUGAUUUCUCGAAGAUUGUCCAUCGAUGCAACAUGAUACAAGGUUCUGAAAGCUCCUAAGUGGUUAAGAAUGCCAAGUCUACCUACUGUUCAGACCAGGUAUGAUGAGGAAUUGGCUAUGACUUUUUCUCACCCCUUCACUAGUUAGCAAUGAUGAUACCAGAAUUAGUUACCGUACUAGUGGUGAUUGUUAGAUUUUAAAUUCUUGGAGUUGAGGUAAGACAAAGGAAAAUGGCUCUCCAAAACUUUCUUUUACUGUUUAAGCUAAGCUGAUACCAAUAAAUAAGUCAGUGAUGAAAGAUGGUGGAUUAAGUGAUCUGGAGGACGAGGAAACCAACAUUUUCUUGCUACCUAAUGGAAUGUCCUCUUUAGAGCUCGGAUUUAGUGGAGUUUUACUUGCAGAUUUCCUCAUGUAUCGACUUCUGAUGUAUGUCUUUAUGUUCUAUUCCAGGAGGGAUUGAUCAAGAGUUCAUUUCUGCCGGGUUCUGUUUCAACAGCAAGAAAAGAGGCACCUAAGUAAGCGAGAGAUAGAAGCAAGAUAGUAGCUUGAUCCGCUAGCUGUAGUGAAGAUGUAUAUAGUAUAAGUCAGAGCUUUCAUAGAUAACUCACCAAAUGCUGGUUGUAUUUAUAUCUUUCACCAAAUGCUGGUUGUAUUACUAUCUUAGACAACAGAAUUAUCUGUGGCUUUUACAAGCUGAUCUAUUUGAGGUUGGGAUUAGUGUGACGGCAGAUUAUAGCUUGCUUAACCUUUUGGGCCAGUUGAAUUAUCUAUUGCAUUGUUUUAUACAAAGAAUGAGUACUCUAAAGAAGGUUUGGUCCUGCUGUUAUUUAUGAUUGAUCACAUCGAGACAUUAUGGGCGCGUUUGGUAACGUUUCUGUUUAAAAAUUGUUUCUGGGAACAGGGAACAGAAAUAGAAAAAAGUAUUUCUGUUCCGGGGAACAAUUUUUAAACAAAAAUACGCGUUUGGUAAACUUGUUCCGGGAAUAAAAAAUAAACAGAAACAUGUUUGGUAAAUUUGGAUAAUUUUUUUAUUUCUUUUAUUUUUUCUAUUUUUUUCUUUUUUUUCCUUUUUUCUUUUUCUUUUUCAUUUUUUUUUCUUCUUUUUGGGCCGGUCAUGAGCCGAAGGUUUUGACCCACACUGUGGCUUAAGGCUUGGAUCUGUGAAUCAUCGUAGCUGUCUAUAUAGGUACUCUUAAAAAUCAUUAGUCACCAUAAUACCUCUUUGAUUCCUAUUUCAAUACAUCACAGUGUAGCCACGUCAGUUUGAAAUACACUGUUCUUCUAGUUUGAUUAUUAUAGAUCAUUAAAAAAAAAAAAACUGGCUUUCUAUCUACAUAUGUAAAAGCCAAAACACCAUUUUAUCUCGCUUUUUAANNNNNNNNNNNNNNNNNNNNNNNNNNNNNNNNNNNNNNNNNNNNNNNNNNNNNNNNNNNNNNNNNNNNNNNNNNNNNNNNNNNNNNNNNNNNNNNNNNNNNNNNNNNNNNNNNNNNNNNNNNNNNNNNNNNNNNNNNNNNNNNNNNNNNNNNNNNNNNNNNNNNNNNNNNNNNNNNNNNNNNNNNNNNNNNNNNNNNNNNNNNNNNNNNNNNNNNNNNNNNNNNNNNNNNNNNNNNNNNNNNNNNNNNNNNNNNNNNNNNNNNNNNNNNNNNNNNNNNNNNNNNNNNNNNNNNNNNNNNNNNNNNNNNNNNNNNNNNNNNNNNNNNNNNNNNNNNNNNNNNNNNNNNNNNNNNNNNNNNNNNNNNNNNNNNNNNNNNNNNNNNNNNNNNNNNNNNNNNNNCCUCGAGGAAGUAGAUCAUUAUGAUACACUCCCCCAGUGGCGGGGAAAGGCCACCAGCCUCCUCCGCCGGUCGCCGACCAUGGCCGAGGCCGGCGACCGGCCAAAAGAAAGAAGAACAAAAAAUAAGAGAAAAAAGAAAAAGAAAAAAAAGUGUUUCUGAUUUGUGUUCCAGAAACAAGAAACAAGUUUUUUUUGUUUCUUGUUUCUGUUUCUUUUGUGUUCCUGGGAACAAAAGAACAAAAAAGGAACAGAAACGCACACAAACGCGUUUCUGUUCCUUUUUUGUUCCCAGGAACAAAAGAACAGAAAUUUCUGUUCCUGGGAACAGAAACAUUUCCAACCAUGCAGGCCCUAUCUAUCCCGUGACAAAUAUUCUCAAGUUGGUCAGACCGGAGAAACCAAGAUGCAUUAAAGAAAUGCUGCAAUAUGCACCUUCAGAAUAACCAGGUUUGUUAAAGUCGGCAUGGAAGUGAUGGGGUUUGUCUCAGUUUUGGCUGGUGCCGAGAUGUCCCGAUGUUCUCAAUAAGCUCUGGCGGGUACCUGCGAUCGGCUCUCUUUUGAGGCCUUAUAGUUUAGAGAGUUCAACUGAGGGCUACACAGAGAGCAGAUAUAGAGUCGUCAGAAGAGACACAGAAACCAUUCCUGGUUUCCACACCUUGUCAGACAUUGAUGGUGAUUCCGUUCUCUUGAUAUCCUGAGAAAAGGAACGUACGUUUUGAAUUUUUAAUUUUCAACGGUUAAUUAGAUCAUCGAACAGGCCAAAAGAGAAAGGAGGAUUCGUAGAUGGACCGUCGCUGCUGGCCACUUGCCAGACCGUAGUGCAAACAACCGCCAUUGGCGAGGUUUGCCAUCUCCUUAGCGACUACCAAGAGUGUUUCUCACCCUUCCAUGGGUUAAUCCCCCCUCCUUUUUCUUAAUUACUAAAAACUAGAAACAUUUUUUUUUUGUCUAGUAGCUAAAUUUUCUAUGUCGUAUACCCCAUGGCACACUAUACAUGUUUUACACAAUGUUCUUUCCAUUAUUGCUUAAAUUUUUUCAAACAAUCAAUUCACCCUUUCUUGAUUGUGCCGUCUUCUCCGUUUCAUUACCCUCUUUAAUCGAAUCUGAGGACAGUAACUGCAGCGGUUUGUUGGCCAUCUUUACACAGUGGUGGCGGCAGUUCCAUCACCGUCUUAUUUGGCUCAUUAUCAAUAGAAUGAGAGAUGGAAUGACUCAAAUUAUAAGAUGUGUAUAUUCUUUAAAAACGUCUUAGAAAGUUUGCUUUGUUCUUUUAACUUUAAUUACGCCCUACUAUGUCUUGGUGAAUCAGUCUGGAGAACAAUCAAACAUUCAUCUUUUAUUUAUCAAUUGUGGGGUUGACAAUGAAGCAUGAACCCAUCUUUUCAAUUGUUUGUUAGCGAAAACGUGUGUAUAUUGGACCAUGUGGAUUUCGUCGAUAUUGUAACAGCACGAAUACUUUGGUUUCUUAGACAAAUAUAAGAACCAUUUCUAUGUGGGGUCACCACUUAUAUUCCUUUCAUCUAUGGCUUUGGAGAAAAUAUUCGGUGCAGUUGGGGUAGCCACCUUAGCAUUGCACUAGUCCAUUCUGCGAGCGACAUGUGUCGCUCGUGGACCCACCUUGAAGAAAACCUGGCUUUGAGUUUCUUCCACGUGGCUAUGGUCUCGACCUAAACCUAUAAAGUUUCCAUUUUGGUAUUAGACGCAUUUAAACGAGGAACCUAAAUGAAUUUUUGCUGUACAUAACCUUACUUUUAUGUGUGGGUAUACAUAUAGAAGGUCAAUGACAAAUAUAUUCUUCUUGAUUGCGACGGGGGAGGUAAUUGAUGCGAUUAACAUAUUAAUACUAUUGCACAUCUAAGAAAAAAGGCUCGAUCUCGUUUGAUAACUAUCCUUUUGAAGUUUGUGGCUAUAAAAGAAGAACAAAUCAGGGUCACUCAAAAGUAUUGAAUAUAUUACACAAUCAUGAUCCUUUGCGUGAUAGGUUUAGAAAUCCUACUUGUCGUUGCUUUCUAUAGUUGAAGAUUUGCGUGUGAAAGAGAUGUCUCAAAAAGUAUACUUUACUGCCAAAUUAUAUUCUUCCUUGAGACAAAUUAAUCCCAACAUUCAAGCUAUUGCGAAAACUAUCUGCAACAUGAAAGCAAAAUCUAUGAUGAAAAUCUGAAUGGUGGGUUUAUGGUCCAAACUUGAUUGGAUGAGCUUAAUCGAUUCAUCUACAAUUUUAAACAUGAUGCUGAGGGUCACUUUAGGCACUCAUUUUUCUCUUAAGUUAUAUCCAUGGCAUCGACAAAGAGCUUAUCAAAUGUCUCUAUAAUCGAUUACUCUUACAAGACUAAUUGAUACAAAAUGUUUUUGUUGGAUAAGGUUGGAGUUCCGAGCUUUAAUGCUUUUUUCUACUCUUGCUUUGCCCUUUCGAGAAAAGACGAAAAAGAAGACUAUGGAUUGGCUUUUGACAAUGUUUAGCAGCAUAUUGGGUGUUGAUUGUCAACCCAGGCCUUUGUUAUUGAUAGAGAAGUUUGAUGCACUUUUCCUAGAAGUGCCAAUUUGUUGCGUGUUUGGCACAUUGAAAAGAAUAAUGUGAUAAAAUGUAAAUCUCAUUUUGAAGAUGGAAUGAAUUGGAAUUCUUUUAUAUUCGAUUUGUGUGAGGUUAUGAACUCCAAAAGUGAAGUAGAAUAUGAUGAAAAAAGUCAGCGAUUUGAAGACCAUUGUGAGAAAAGCCAUCGAUUCUUAGUUGUAUUAAAAAUAAAUUGGUUCCUUCCAAAGAGAUUGCUAAAAGUAGGGUUAAGCUGCGUACUUGCAUUGGGCAUUUAUGCAAUCCAUGGAACUUCCAUGUACGCAUAAUAUAAGAUUUAGGAUUUCCGAUGGUCUACCUCUAAAUAUAACUAAUCCACAAUAAAGGCUUGAUAUAAGGUCCUAUUUAUCAUGAUAUUACUCAAAAUAAUAGAGAUUAUUUAUUUAAGCAACUAUUCCACGAGUUGGAAAGAAAAAUCAAGAAUGGCUAAUUUUGAAAUAGGAAGUUGUUGAAAAGCAAAUUGAGCAUUUUGUACGAACAAGUGAUUCCUUCCCGUAUGAGCCCUUAACUACAUAUCAUAAAGAUUGGAAUUAAAAAAUUAAAGAAGAAGCAACUUCUAAAUGACGUGAUCCUUUGUCAUUUCAGAUUGUUAAAAAAGGGAAAAGAUGUGGUACUUGUGUAAAGGUUAUGGGCAUAAUAGUCGGGCAUUUAAAUCAAAAGGCAAAUGUCAAACUCACAUUCAAGGCCGUUGAAAUCCAUGGUGGCAAAAUAUAACAGGCACAGAGUACUUCAACACGCAAUAAUUCAACCUGAAAGGCCUAUUCUAAGGUUGGAGUUUCUCGCACCCUAACAUUGGAAUUAAUCCCCGAUAUUUUUGAGCAAAUAAUGACUAUCUUAGUAAUGCAACUAAAACUUUUAUUGUCUAAUUUAGGCAAUAUAUAUAUAUAUAUAUAUAUAUAUAUAUAUUUUCCGGAGAGAGUAGCCUUUUUUAGGGGAGCUAAGUAGCUGAAGAAACAAUGUUUUAUUGUUAAGUUGCAUACACAAUUUGUUACUAUGGCAUUGCAUUUGUAUUAUGAAGAUCAUUUACUUUUCUUUGUUGGUUUUAUGAAAAUUUUGAUGCAUUUGGAAUUGACUAUAUAUAUAUAUAUCUGCAAAUGGUUUCAAUAAGUUGUUUUAUAAUGCAAUUUCAAUUGCCACAAUUUUCUUCUCAACAACCGAUCAUUCCAUUUAAUCAAUGCAAAGAGGAUAUUCACAUGUAGUAAUGUUUUUGAGAGCUUAUUCUUUUGAAUUUGCAUGAUAAAUAAUGGAUGUUUAGAAUUUCCAAUGUGCUUAGCUUUGUCAUAUUGUGCAACUUUUUUGUUCGAAGUAACUAUAAAAAAAUUGUGUGGUGAUGACUUGAAAAAUUAAGAAAGGUCGAUUGUUAGAUUUGUUGAUUAAAAUGAAAGUCGAGCAAUUAAGAUACAUAGAUUAUAAUGAAACGACAUGUAUGGAAGUUGUGAUUAAAUGAAAUGCAUUAGUUAAAACUAGUAAAAGGAUUUUUUUUUUUUCAUUCUUACUUGUGCUUAGGUUAUUUAGAAUAAUGGUUUCCUUGUACAAAAUAAAACGAUAAAUAUACAACUCAUUAAUACAAUAACUAGUUAGCUAUUUAUCAAAUAAAACUUUUUUUUUUUUGAAAAGGAGGGACAGCAUUUUCGUCUCCAAUGGAAAAAAUUAAGAAAAGAGGCCAAACAGAAAGAAAACCUCAUGGAGCUCAAAAGGACAACAAAAAGAAUAAAGAAAAGGUAAGGAAUAAGCUCAAUUAAGGAGUAACCCAAAAGACAACAAAAAGAACAAAAAGAGGGUUGGGAAUAAGCUCAAGUUGAGAGUGGCCGACGCUUAACCUUUUACUAUGCGGGUAGAUUUGUAGGUAAUAAAUGCCAAAGUCGUGGAAGUUGCUUGACUUUUGCCUGGUUCAGGUUGCAUUUUCUAUCCCACAUAAGAUGCAAAAGUUGCCAAAGCGUGUUAAAGCGGACUCCGGUGAAAUCAAGGUAGACCAGCAAAAGUUGCAAAAGCAUGUUUUUGUGAACUAAUUCUCUUUUUGCCUUGGCGCCAAGAAGUUUCCUGAUGCAAACUGUUUACUUCCUUUCCUUCUAUAUUGUUGCAUUUUCUAUCCCAAGCAAGAUGCAAAAGUUGCAAAAGCAUGUCAAAGUGAGACCGCAAGAGAUCAAAAAAGGAGGAAGGAAAAGAAAACUUUCAUCUUCAUUUGCAAGUGAGAAGGAAAAUCACCGUGGAAAAGGGUUUGGCCCAAUACGUUAUUUGGUUGGCUGAAGAGAGAAUUCUGCUUUGAAGAACUAUAUAGAUUGAUAGAUAGAUCAUAUGACAGAAUAGAUUAGAGAUAAUCUGAAUGGUUCGCAUUGAAAAACUCUUCCGCCAUUUCGCUUGUUGUUUGAAAUCAUGAAAUUUAGAGAAAAUAGUAAAAUACUAAAAGUUAGCUUUUCCCGUCGAGAAAAAAAAAAAAGAUAUAUGAGUAAGUGAAUGCAGAGGAGAAAUAUAAAAAAAAGAAGAAAGGGAAAAAUAAACAAGGCCUAUGUAUAAUAUGCAACCAAGUGCUUGUGCUAGCAACAUCAUGAAAAAAUUCAGAAAAUAGAAGAAUUCUCUGAGCCUAUAGUUAUAGGAUGAUGGUCACAAACUCCUGAUUGAGGAGUGAGCCUCAUCCGUUGAUUUCACACAAAUAUGGGGACGGCAUUUGCAAAAGUCAAGUCCACUUCAAUUAGAUAAACUAAUAAUUAAAAGGCAGAGCUUGACCUCUAUAUAUACACUGCAUCCAGUUCCACUUCCUCAUUCACAAAUGCAAUCACAGAAUUCAUAGAACUCCAACUUCUCCAAAAAAUGGAGAAUAACGCAAUCAUGAUUGAAAGGUGCGUAAUUUAUCCGUAUGAAAAUCUCUAAGAACUCUAUGUAGGGUGCGGAUAAAAUAGCUAUUUUCUGUUAAAUCAGUUUUUUUUUUUUUUUUUGGUGGUUGAAAUAAUUUGUUCUUGAUUCGGUAUAGAGAUGGCGAGCAACCUCAACAACAGCACCAACAGAAAAUGUUUGACUCGACUCUUCAUUAUUCACAUAUGUUUAUCUCGUUCCUUACGAGCUGUAUCUUGCUUUGGACGAGCAUUUGGUGCACUUAACUUUCUAUGUUUGUUGGAACUUUUAAUUGUACUACUUUCGCAAAAUCCUUCCAUAUCAAGAGUUAUCAUCUAUAACUUACUGCAAUUAAUUUGUUUGGACUUUGCAUGUCGUUAAUACUGAGCUUUAGUUUGUAAUGUUGGACUCGCAUGUGACAGGUAAUGCAAUUUGCUCUCGCAAUCAUGCAUUAUAUGUACAAUUAAUUUGACUCAUCGUAUGGGGAAAGUGUUAAAAAAGUCCUAAACCUUUUGCAUUUACUCAUAAACCUUUUAUUUGAUGCUAAUUUAGUACUUUCUGGCUGGAUUUUGCAGACUGGUGCCGGCUAGUUGACGUGGCAUAAUCGAUGCUGAUGUUGACAAUUUUUAAUAAUAUUUUAAUAUUUUUGAAUUUUUUAUUUUCUUUUUUAUUUUCCUUCUCCUUCUCCUUCCUUCAACCAGUCAUCAAACCUCGGCGAUCGCCUAAAGGCAACAGCCAGCGAGGCUCGAGCCCUCGCUGGUGGCUUCGAGGGCAGCAAGGCCAGCUCAAGGCCAGCUAUAAGGGCAGCAUUGCAUCGAGUUGGCGAGGCUUGCCCUCAAGCUGGCCCCGCAUUGGGCGGCGAGGCUUGCCCUCGUGGCCACUAGCUAGGACUUGAGCCUCACCAGUGGCCACCAGGUCGACCUCGACCUUGCUGGCCAUCACCUUUGGCCGGUCGCCGAGGUCCGGUGACUGGCUGGAGGAAGGAGGAGAAGAAGGAAAAAAGAAAAAGAAAAAGAAAAAUAAAUAAAAAAUUUAAAUAAAUGAAAAUAUUAUUAAAAUUUGUUUAUAUUAGCGCUGAUUGUGCCACGUUAGCCGGUCGAUGCUCUUUCAGCAAAAUCCGAUCGGAAAGGAUUGAAUUGGCACCAAGUAAAAAGGUUUAAGACUAAAUUGAUACUAAAAAAAGGUUUAGGACUAAAUUGGCAUAAAUAUAAAAUGUUUAUGAUUUUUUAACACUUUUCUCCUCAUUGUACAUUUUCGUUGUGGAUAAGUAAGUUUCCGUCGAGCAAAAUUUUAAGCAUGUGGAUGAAACACUUCUAAUACAAGCUUGUAUUAUCUGACAGCAACGUAAAUUACUGAUUUCAGAUUUUGUUGUGCUUUUUUCUAUAGACUUGCAGAACAAGAAGAAGCCAUCAUUGAAAAAUUGAAGGAUUUCUUGAAAUCAUCGCUUACCUGGUCAUUAGCUCUUCUCCAAGCUAAGUAUUUACUUGUAAACAUGUAAGUGACCUUCAUCGCGAUUUUCAUAACUGUCAUCGCGCUCUUUGGCAUUAGUCCACAAACAACACCAAGCAAUUAUGGGACAACAUUCAUCAGUUUUGCGUUUUUUAUACUAGGAUGUCUUGUUGUUGGAAUAGCAAUUAACUCGAUCAUACCAAAUUCUUACUUUAAGUGGGUUGUCUAUGGUAUGUUGCUUGUUAUGGUAGCUACAAAUCUCGAUUACCAACAACUUUUUCUGGAGAUGAAACGAGUCUUCAAGUCCAUAUGCGGAGCAACUUUUUUGAGACUUAGAAACCUCUUCAUUCAAUCACAAGUGAUUAUUGAAUGUCUCUUGAUAAUUAAUUUUGCGGACCGAGAACAAUCAUCCAUGAAUAACAACCUUGUGACUCGACCGGUUGGCAAUGAUAGAGGUGGAGUUGAGGAGGACAUGGUCUAGUUGAUCUUGUGAUGGAAUUGGACACCCUUAAUCUCUCCAUUUCCCUUUACAUUAUUAGAUGUUUUGCCGUGUAUUUUAUGUUAAUAGGGUAUGCAAAUGUGUGGUAAGACUAUAAUAGUUCUUCUUUGAUGCAUUAAAUUUGCAACUUUGUAUAUUGCUUCAUCUCCAUGAAAUUUUUAUUGAUCUAGUUUUUCUUCCCGGCAAAAUUUACAAUAAUGCUGUGUUUUAUUCUGCUCUUCGUUGACUGCUCGUUGCUUUACAUGAAUAGUAUCUGCCUUAUGUAACACGCUGGGAUUAUCUUUGAAACAUGGGGUCUUUUGGUUUUAUCCCUAUGGUAUUACUCUUGUUUUUGAACUGCCUGUACUACGAAUCCACAACGCAAUUUCACGCCAAAUGACGGUUGCCAAUGAGAUGAAAAAAAGAUGGGAUUCCAUUGACCAAAUGAGAUUUCUCAUUCAAAAAAUUUUCGAUUUAAUUUUUCCAUUUGUCCUCUAAUUUUUUGUCAUUAUUUGUCCUCUAACUUAACCUGUAAUUUAUUCUUAUUGAAUGAGUUUUUUUUUUUUUCCGGUCGUACGAUUAACUUUCUAAUUUCAAAUGGUAAUUAAAUUUCAUGUCCGUAAGAAUUUGGAAAGUGUGAACUAAAGGGCAAGGAAUGCUGGAAAAAACAACACAUCGAAUCUCUGACUUUAAUUUGUACGAAAUUCUCUUUCUUCAUCUUUUAUGGCUUUUUGUUCCAAUGCAGUUGUUACUGUCGAUGUGAUCAAAUUAAUUUUCACAAAAACGGGGAUUUAAUCGACAGCAUGUCUUGUAACCGAUCGAAUUAACUUCUUAAGAUGUAAAACCCCGAUAGAGGAAGAUAACUCUCCACAUGGAAUGUUAUGUUUUCUAAUGUAAUACGUUUGCUUUCUUUUCUUUUAGAUUCCUUUGGUCAAUCAAUACGUUUGAACAAAAUCUCUGCACUUGCACAAAUAGCAUUGGAAUUGUCUGCAAUCGGCUGUAGAACUUAAGAUUGCAAUAAUCAAGUUACUACCCGCAUUGUAUAGUAUGUAUAAUCCGAUGAUCUUAAGGCAAAGAUAAAAUAUAUUGAAACAAGGAAAAUCUUUUUUUAUUUAAAAUUUUCUCAACAACUAUAUCAAAAAGAACGAGAAGUGCUAAUUUUCAUUUUGAUUAUUGGCAUAACUAAGCAUAGCAUUUAUAUGAGAUCUAUUGAUCAAAUUAUUCAACACUUUAGAAUUGCUCCUUUUCAUAUAUAAUAUGGAGUAGCGAAUAGAGGUGCUAUAAGAGUAACCCAUUACUUUUUAAGGAAUUUUUUUUGUCCCCACAGCCCUAUCUUCCUCCUGUAUCGUAGUGAUAGGUUCAAGGGGAACUGCACAAUCUGAUUCAUGAUGGGAUUCAUGAUGGGUGCUUGUUUCAUGUUGCGAGUUCAAAAUAAAUACCAUGUUGAAAAUGUUAAGGUAGGAAAAAAGGUCUAAGGUGGAAAGUAGAGUAGAUGUAUCUAAUUAGACCCAAUGCUCAACAACUUAAAGGUUUUUAGUGAAAUUAAGUAUCAGUAACUAGGUCAAUAAAUUCGAACAUUGUGCUCUGUUUGAAUCCCUUAUUAUAACAAUGUUGAAUUGUUGUGAGACUUCUCUAUUCUUGAAAAUACUAAAUUGGUAAAUCAUCAAGGCUUUUCACAAUCUUGCUACAUGUUAAUCUUCGAUUGAAUGUCGGCUUCUUUAAUGUUUUUUACAUAAUGUAUAUUGCAGUGGUGUUACGGAUGCAUUUUGAUGGCCCCGCGGUCGUGUCUAUGGACUAAACAGCCCAAAAGGUUGGGAGCUCCAAGAUUGCUAUCUUUAGGCACAUUAUCCCAAUUAUUUUUUCCCAGUCUUUUUGCUUGUCAUUUUUUUUUUUGUUCCUUAUUAAAUUUUAAAAAUUCUAUCAUUAAUGUCAAAUAUAUCUAUAAGAAAAUAUUCGAAAAACUAAGAAUUUAUUGAGCUUUGAUGUAGCUAUUAAGGGCCGAGACUGAGGUUUAUUUUUUUAGAAAUUGAAAACUAACAAACGACUCAUGAACCGUGAUGAGAAUAGGCUUAUUAUUAUAAUAUUAUUUUUGAUGUAAAUACAACAUUAACAUCGAACAUUCUUUAUGUAAAAAAUUCUUCUUCGCAUUGAUUAAUAUUUCAUCCUAGUCAUUUUCAAAUGCUCUGUCUAAAAUAAAAUUUCAUUUUGAGGCAUUAGUCAUUGAUUAUAAUCUAAUCAAAGCUUAUUAGGCGGGGUAUUGCUUUUUACCUUCUAUGAUUCACAUAAUCAUGUAGUCCAACACCUCAAUUUCGAUAAAUUUAUCAUGCAGAUACAAUGAUUGAUAGAAGUGCAUCAAACCUUUUAGGAUUUUUAAUAUCUAAAGAAAAAUCCUCUGGUAAAAAAAUUCGUCAUAUAGCAGGCACUAUUUUAAAUUGCUUAAUUCCUAAAGAUUAAAUUUGAACUCAACUGACAGCUUGUGACGAUGGCGGCUGGUGGUGCGCUCGCAGUGGAUCAUGGUGUUCGGCAAAGGAUAGCGGCGGUGCGAGGAGCCCGGCUCGGUGGGGGUCGCGGAUUGCUGCUCGGCUCGGUGGGACCUGGCUUCAAGCUGUCCUGUGGUGGAAAUCUUCCGACGGUGAUGCUUUGUCGAGAACCUGCAAAAAUAGAGAACCACCCCGAGGUGGCUGAGCAGUAGUGGUGUCGUGGGAUAGGGCUGGACGGCGGGGCAGCAGGGUCGGCGAGACUGAUGCAGCGCCAGUGGGGGUAGGGACAGCAGCUGGUAACGUCAUCGUAGGGAACAACAACAAACUUGGUGAAGGUAGCGCUAGGUGGCGGCUCGGCAAGGAUGGCGUCGCAGGGUCAGUAGUGGAAUACCAGAGGACGACCGAGCGAGACUCGGAUCGGCGAGGCAACAAACAGCGGAGGAGCGACAUCGGCGUCGAGGGGUCUUGGUGAGGCGCAGCUGGGAGGCGGCUGGGACAACAACAUGGCAGCGGCGCCGAGGUAAGGAGCUGCGAAGCUCACCGUCAGUCAGUGAGGAUGGCAGCACGGGCAAGGGCCUCGGCCAGGCGUAUGGGCUUGGCUGAAUGCUCCUUCCUCUCUCUCUCUCUCUCUUUCUCAAGUGUUUGUCUCUAGUGUUCUAAAUUUCUAAUUGCUGUCCUCGAGUUAUGAGAAUCUAGGUUUAAUUUACUCUUGCGGGCUUAAUUUCAGCCUACCAACUUGAUGGACUCUAAUAACCUAGGGUCAUUCCUUAAUUAGAAUUUUAAUGGGCUUAAUUAAGCUUAAAUUAGGCCAAUUAUGCCCCCCCCCUCUCUACAGAAUUUUGACCACCGCUCUACCAAGGCUUGGCCAAUUUCGCCCCUUCCUCGUAGGGUCAAUCUAUUCAAUUAAGCUUGGAACCAUCCACCAUCGGUCUGAUUAAAUGCAAUUAACUCAAUCAUGCUUCUAAUGACCAUAUGUUAUUUAAUUAUAAUUAUUUUUGCUAGGGCUGAAGCCUAUAUCUAAUUUUCUAAGCAGUGAAUUACUAAAUGGGACACCAAAAUUUAGGUGUCAACAUUCAUAUUAUCAAAUGAAGAGUACAAGCCCUCCCUUAUAUAUAUAGGGUGAGAGGCAAUUAGGUUUAAUUACAACUAAUGUAAACUACAAUUAACCUAACUUUAAAUAUAUACAUCUAACACUAUACAAUAAUGGUGUUUUCUCCCUCAAAAUUAUAAUAAAGGAUUAUGAUGGCUCUCUUUUAGGGUUUCAUUUCGCAGCACGCACUUAGUAGAAAGUUGAAUUUGGUACCACGAGAUGCUGACAAGCUAUAGUUUACUCUGGAUUCGGUCUAAAAGUAAUGAAAAUUGAUAAAUAUAUGAUAAAUUCCAGCAGUUUGUUCUAACAACUCAAGCUUGGACUCGGCUCAAGGAAAAUUCCAGCAGAUAGAUGCUUUUCCUUUUUGAUUAUUUUAAUUUCAAGGUUAGAAUUGGAGGUCAUACACGUAUAGAAAGCUGAUGAACAGUGACUGGCGUGCGCGUGUAUGUGAGACGUGAAUAGAAGUCUAGGCUUGGCAAGAAAUGCUGGGGCAAGACCGUUCGUUUCUCGAAGACUGAUAUUUCUUCACAAUAUAUGGCGAAUAUAGUGAACGUGUGAAUGCGUCGAUGACGUUGAUAUUCUUCACAAUAUAUAGUGAACGUGUGAGUGCGUUAAUGAUAUUGAUAUUCUUCACAAUGUCAUGUAGAAAUCGGUGCAAGUAAUUAAACAAAAUAAGUUAAGAGUGGGCCCAAAAGAGGAUGUUUCCAAAGGGUAGGUAGGAAAGGUCUUCUUGACGUGGAAUCUAGGCAGUCAAAGAGCAACGCCGGCCGUGAAUAAGAGAAAAAAGAUCCCCACGGUCUCCCAGUCGCUGCAAAUGAAGAAAGAAAAAGCAUCAUAGUCCCUUUAUUGGAAGACAUCCGCCCGCCCCCCCGCGCGCGGCGGUUAGCGAGGAGUUCUAUAAAAACCAUACCCGAUAAUGCAGUCCACACAAAGGCCUCUGGAGCGGAGGUUAAAGAAGCGUACUCUCUUAGGUUUUUCGGAAAGCUAGCGCUGAUCAAUGUCCAACAUCAACGUUACUUCAGCUGAAGCUCGGAGGUUAGUCUUGCCUUCAAAACAGUCGAGAUUUAUAUUGAUUAGUGCUCUCUAUUGUUUGUCUAUGUUUACCUUGUCCCUUAUCAACUGCAUCCUCCUUUGGGUCACGAGCAUUUGGGCACUAGGUUUUCUAUGUUUCUUGGAAUUUUUGUUCGCCUAGACUUUUACAAAUCCAUCCAUAUACAUCAAGAGUCAUUUACUAGUAGUUCUGUCAAAUGAGUGGAUCGAGUCGGUUUUGGGUAAGUUGAAAUUGGAUCUGACACAAAUUGACCAAUUUUUAUGCAAUACAACUAAUUUAAAUCUGAUUCGAUACAAAUCCAGACCUAACCCAAUCAGGACUUCAAAGACGAGUGGAAAAAUGGGUUGCGGCCCUCACUUGACCUCGCCCAGGGCCGCGGGUGAGGCUGGCCUUGCCUAGAUCCGACGAAGGCUUCGCGGCCCUUGCCUAGUGGUCAGUGAGCCUCAUCGGAGGCUCACUGGCCACUACGAGGAGAGCCCAAGGAGGAAGAAGAAGGAAAAUAAAAGAAAAAAAUUAUUAAAAAUUCAAAAAAAUAAAAAUUAUUUAAAAAUUGCCUUGUCAUUGUCUAGCCAUUAGCCAUCAUUCACAUUAGUGCUGGCCAUACAAAAUUGACCAGAUGGAUUGAAUUGAUAUCGAUGUAAAAAUGUUUAGAUUUAAAAAUGUUUAAAACUAAAUUGAUCCAAAUGAAAAUUUUUGGACUGAAUUGGUAUCAAUAUGAAAAUGUUUAUGACUAACUUAAUUCAAUUAAAAGGUUUAUGACUGAAUUGAUACCAAUGCAAAUGUUUAUAAUUUUUUUGAUACUUUUCCCGCUGUUUGUAUGACGAGUGAAAUGGAUGUCUAGGCUUUUUUCUACUUGUUAUGUUUUAUAAAAUACGCAAAAGUGUGAUCAACAUCAUGAAGUGUUUUUUUUUUUUUCAUGUUUUGGCACCAUUAUGAUUGGACUGGGGUUUUUUUUUUUUUUUUUUUGUCGGUCUUACUCUAUUCCUACUCUAACUUUCAUUCUUAGACUUUUGCCUUUGCCUCUUUGCAGGGCAUGGGAGUCGAAAUCCACUCCUGAAACUAAUUCAUCCCAAUCCCAACCCCCGUGAGAAGGUGGGGAUUCGAACCCCCCACCCCUCCUUCCAUGUUGGAAGGGUGGCCACUGGGGCAAACCCGAGUGGUUACUGGGGGUUUGCUUGGACAAUUAUUCGUUGUGGAAUUUAAUAUGAUAUUUAUGUCUUAAUGUUAUGGUGCUCUUUUGACUGUUCGUGUGAGGAGGGAAUAUUUGAAUGAAGACAUGCAUAUCGAUAGAGGCGUUGUUAAGCCACGAGAGUUAGGUUCUACACCUUUUGGAAGUUGAUUGAAGCUAGAUAUUGAUAGUGCAAAAUCUACUUCCAAAUUGAUCGUUUCCCCAAUGGUAUCACUUCUAUUUAUGCCCUGCCUAUAGUAUGGACCAACAAUGCCAUUUCACUCAAAAAAACGCUUGUCUUAUAUCAAUAUUACUUACUUCGUUCAUGAUUGUAACAAGACCUAUCACAUAUCAGUGAUGGUAAUGGAUCUUGAAUGAGUUUUAUCACAUAUCAGUGAUGGUAAUGGAUCUUGAAUGAGUUUUACAUGAUUUACGUGUCAAAACGUGAAGUCGAUCCUUGUAAGCCCAUCACGGCAAUAAGAGGAUUCUUUUCUUGUGCCAACUGAAUUAGACAUUGGUGAUGUCCCCAUCUGCACUUAUCUCAAUCUAUUUAUGAAAAUACCAAAGUGGUAAAUCAUCGACACUUUUCACAAGUUUGCUACGUGUUGAUCUGAGAUUGGAUGUUGACUUCUUCAAUGUUUUUAGAUAAUGUACUUUGAUGGCCCCGCGAUCGUGGCUAUGGUCUAAUAGCCCAUAGCGAAAACCGAUCUUUAGGCACAUUAUCCCGAUUAUUUUUUUCCCCAUCUUUUUCCUUGAUUUUUUUUGUUCUUUAUUAUAUUUUACAAAUUCUAUGCUAAUAUGAAAUAAAUUUAUAAGAAAAUAUUGGAAAAACUAAGAAUUUGUUGUGCUUUGAUGUAAUGAUUAAGGGCCACGACAAAGGUUUUCUUUAUUAGAUAUGGAAAACUAAAAAAUAACUCAUGAACCACGAAGAGAAUAGGCAUAUACUUAAGUCUGAUGUAAAUACAACAUUAACUCCAAACAUUCUUUAUGUAAUAAAUUCUUCUUCGUAUUAAUUGAUAUUUCAUCCCAGUCAUUUUCAAAUGCUGUAUCUAAACUAAAAUUUCAUUUGAGGCAUUAAUCAUUGAUUAUAAUCUAAUCAAAGAUUAUUAGGCAGGGUAUUGCUUUUCCCCUUCUGUGAAGUUCAAAGUCUUACUCUACUCAUUCUUCUGUUGAAAUUUGAAAACAACAAUGAAUUUAUCUUUGCUAGGGAGAAAAUAAUUGAUUCACAUGAUCAUGUCGUCCAACACCUCAAUUUUGAUAAAUUUAACAUGCAAAUAUAAUGAUUGAUUGAAGUCCAUCAAAUCUUUCAACUCUUUCAAUCUCUAAAGAAAAAUCGUAUUGUAAAAAAAUUCGUCAUACUAUUACAGCAUACACCAUUUUAAAUUGCUUAAUUCCUGAAAGAAUAUAUGUUAAAUGUAAGUAUGCAGAUUUUCUAACAACAAGAAUACUUUAAUGAAAUAUAUUGCGGCAAUGCAUGGACCCUCUUUGGUUGUUCAUUAAUUGGCUUUAUUUUAUAAAACAAAAAUGUGAUUUAACACGUUUUUUUUUUCAUAUAGUGUGAAAACGAAAGUUGAAGUUUUAACUUCAAAAAUGUCGUAAAAGUUAAAACUAAUCUACACAAAUGGGCGCCCAUAAAAAAAAGAAUAAAAAAUAAGGAGUUCUCUUCUGUCAGAAUAAAAAUCCCCAGCGAGGAGAACAUCGAUAAGAGGAAGAUCCUAUCUUUAAACUAAUUUACUUAUCCAAUUCAAGCGUAAAGCUCGUAUUGAGUAGAUGUAUUAGAAAGUUUCUGCAUUUAGUAUAAAAUAAAGUUAACACUUUCUAUAUCUUGGACAAUUUAAUGAGUGAUACUUUGGGACCUUGGACAAUUGAAUAAUAUGACAGUGAUAGCUUUGGACAUUCGUGUCAUUGACGCCAAACACGUUUCAAUGACGCCAACUUUAUAUUAGUCAAUUGCCCGAAAGUAUCACUUCAUCUACACUUUCUAAACACUUCUUCGUUCACUAAACAAGGCCACCAUAGAUACUCUGCAAUUAAUGGGAGUUAAUUGAGCUCAAACUUCUAUAGAAAAUGAUGGAUCAUACAGUGAUACUCGAAAGGUACGUAAUUUAUUCAUGUAAUUAUGCUCUAAGAACUCUGUUCAGAGCGCAUAUUAAGUAGUCAAUCAUUUUCCCCCUUAAUAUAUCAGUCCAGGGGCGAUGUGCAGCCACAAUAGCAACUAUAGGACAUGUUUGAGUUAAUCGAGAGAUUCCACAUUAUAUUCACCUUAUUAAAGUUGCUUCUCAUUGCACAUUUCAAUUCGAAGAACACUAAGGCACUGAGCUAUGUGAUUUAGCAGUUUUAUAUUACUUGCAAAGUCAUCUAUCUCAUAGUACUAAUCGAAUUGACUGGAAUUGUCAGCCCAAACUAAAUACAUCGGUACCUGUACAUUGUUUUUGGGACUCUUAACUCUGAUUUGCUUCUUUAUAUAAGCUUGUCUCUGGUCACAUGGCUAGUUGCCAAUAUGUGCUGAUUAGUGUUUGUUUUAGCAUUAUCUGACUUGCUUGCACAAGGUUCCAACCUAUUUCAGGAGAUUGUUCACCCAAAUGGGUGCCAUUUUCUGAAGUUCAGUUUGAUUUUUGAAGCUGCAGUCAUACUUUGUUUGUGUAUCACUUUUAUUGCAUGUUAUUUGUAAUAAAUACUUCUGAUUUAUGGGAAAAGAGUGUUAUCAUAUACAUGUUCUGUAUUUGGUGAACCUUGCCUUGUUGCCACGUUACGUACACGAGCAUUUUAAUUUCAUUUGAUGGUUUCAUUUGGGUCGAAUUGGUUUUUCCUAAUCUAGAAAGUGUCUAAGAGUUUUCCAUAGAUAAAUUCCUAUGACACUUGUAUGAGGGGAAAAUUAUCAAAAAAGUUCUAAAACUAUUGCAAUUGUGUCAAUUUAGUCAUAAACUUUUUUUUUUGACCAAUUGAGUCCUAAACCUUUUACAAUUAUUCUCGAUCAGUCCAUCAGGCCAAAAUUAUCUGGUCAGCGCUGACGAGCUUUUUUUAAUAAUAUUUUAUUUUUUAAAAUUUUUUAUUAAUUUUUUUUCCUUUUUUUUUCCCCUCUUCCUCCCUCCUCCCUCCUCCUUCCUUUGGCUCCGACGGGGUGAGCCCUCACUGGCUCUAGCGAGGAGGCCUCGCCAGACAUGACGGCGAGCCCCCCUCGCCAGAUUCGGCGGGGGCUCGCUGUGCCGGAUCGCCUCGCUAGAUCCGGCAAGGUUUCGGUGAGCCCCCCUCCCCGGAUCUAGUGAGGGCUCACCUCGCCAGGGGGCAAUUUUCUUCUCAACCGACGGUGACCUCCUCGCCAUCGAGAGGGACGAGAAUCUCAAGGGCUUCUAAGCAGAAACCCUCGCCUCCGCAUCGGAGUUUAGGUUAGGCAAAUUGUCCCUGGGCACAAGGGGCUACCUCAACCUAAGCCUCUCCGCCUUCCGCUCCUCCCUGUUGCCACCGCGAGGCUAGCCCUCGCCAAAUCCGGCGAGGGGAGCUCGCCGAAACCUUGCUAGAUCUGGCGAGGGCUCGCCUCGCCUGGUGACCACGAGGCGAGGCGAGCCCGCCAGAUUGGCUAAGUCCGGCGAUCGGCUAGCCUGGCUAGUCGCCGGAGCCAAGAGAAGGAGGAGGGAGGAGGGAGGAGGGAGGAAGAGGGAGAAGGAAAAAAAAAGAAGAGGAAAAGAAAAAAAUUAAUAAAAAAUAAAAUAUUAUUAAAAAAAGCUCGCCAGCGCCGGCCGGCCAAUUUUGGCUGGAUGAAUUGAUUGAGAAUAAUUGUAAAAGGUUUAGGACUCAAUUGGUCAAAAAAAUAAAUUUAGAACUGAAUUGGUACAAUUGCAAUAUGUUUAUGACUUUUUUGGUAGUUUUCCCCGUGUAAGAGCAACAGCUUUUACGAAAUGGAUAAAAUUUGUGUAGCCAACAAGUUCAUCCUUCUGCUGAUAAAAGAAAAAAAAAGGGGAGAAGUACACUAUCAGUGCCAUAAGUUGUGUACGGCGCUCACUUUGGUGCCAAAAGUUUAUGUCGGAUCACUUAAGUGCCAAAUCGGAGGAAAAACGAUCACUUUGGUGCCACCGGCUAGAAAUUCCGGCCAAAAUGAUUACGUGGCUUUUAUAUUUAAAAAAAAUCAAUAAACCCUUUAAACGGCGUCGUUUUUUCGUCCUACUUAAGAAAACGAUGUCGUUUUGCCGUCAUAUGUGGAUGGCUAAGGAAAAACGACGCCGCAUGGCUAAUUUGGGAUUGAAAUUAGGGUUUUCUUUUGUUCAUCCUCACCGACCUAGCUUGCUUGACCACCGUCGCUUGGCCACCGUGCUCGGCCACCGUCGCUCGGCCACCGUGUUCGGCCAAGAAGUGAUGGGAAAAUAGGAGGCGAGGGCGGAAGAGGAGGAGGAAGAAGGGGGGUUGAAGGUGCAGAGAAAGAGAGAAGACGAGGAGUGUGAACGAAACAAGGAGGGCGUAGAUGGAGAUGUUGGAUUGGGCUUUGCUCAGAGAGUGGCUGGUGCUGGUGUUGUUCUUCGGAGAAGAAGACACCGCCGCCAUGGCUUCUCUCUCUCUCUCUCUCUCUCUCUCUCUCUCUCUCUCUCUAUUUGGGGAUUUAGGGUUUCGACUUAGGGUUUAAGACGGCAAACGACGUUGUUUGGUGGUUUACAUGUUGACUGUACUCUUCGGCGAGCCACAUCAGCGUAAAAAAUUAAUAAAAAAUUGCAACGUCGGAUUUCCGGCCAACCGAAUCGGCAUUGGCAUUGAAAUGAUCAUUUUUCAAAAUUUUUGACACUUAAGUGAUCCGAUGGAAACUUUUGGCACUAAAGUGAGCACCGUACACAACUUAUGGCACUGAUAGUGUACUUUUCUUGAAAAAAAAAAGUAACAAGUUUAUCCGUCGGAUGGAACUAAAUUCUAUAUUUCUUAGACCACAAAAAAGGGGGAACAAAAGGGAAUCCCUCUUUUUACAUUUGGCCACAUCUUCGAGAUAUAAUAGCGGCAGAGCACUCCAUGCUUUACCAAACCUGUUGAAGGCAUAAUCUGCAUUUUACCUAUGCAUCUAUGAAUAAUGCACACAUUAAUAGCAUUUGAUUAUUUUUUCAAUCCCAAAACAUCAUAGAUUCUACCCUACUUGGAUAGAUAAACCGGCGAAUCUUCCUAUGACAACUAAAGAACCUUUCCUUGUCCGCCCACCUCAUCAAACAUUGCUAGCGAUUGCAUUCCUGAGAGUGUUCCUGUGGAAUGUAAUUCCUUGGCUUGCCUCGUUGUAUCUUUGAAGUUUUGGCAUGCACCUUCAACUCUAAGAAGCUGGUAACAAUGUGCUUUCGCUCUCACUAGUUAUCUAUUUAUGUAUAUGGACUUUGUUUUCCGCUCUGAACAUAUGAGAGCUGUUGCGGUUGGCGAUGGUGCAUUGACGGCGGCUAUUGGCGGACCAAGAGUGAUGGAGAAGGAAUGAAGAUAAAAGAAAACCACCGGAAAUUGAUGAUCCCCGAGAGAAUUGCCUGAGCUCCCCCCUUCACCUCUUGUACUUCUCUGCUGAUAUUGUGAUCGUGAGUGGUUGUGGUGAUGAAAUGGAUUGCAUUAGAUGGGAGAGAGAGAAUCAAUUCAGGUGUCAAAAACUUGUAUAGGGGUAGCCAUGGCUCUCAUCAAGCUCUUUGGCUUCAAGGGAUAAUCGAAAAUCUUUUAAAAAAGUAGUGUCGCAAACUGAGAAGAGUCAUUGAUGAAUAAUAAUCCUGCGACUUGACCGGUUGGCAUUGAUGGAGGUGGAGUCGGGGAGGACAUUGUCUAGUUGAUCUAGUGAUGGAAUUUGGCACCCUUUAUCUCUCCUUUUCCAUUUGUACUAUAAGAUUUUUAUAUAAUAUGUGAAAUGGAUAUCCGAGCUUUUUCCUUUGUAUUAUGUACUUGUACGAUAUGUAAAAUUGUGGUUUGACUAUAGUAGUUCUUCAUCGAUACAUUAACUUUGCAACUUGGCAUGUUUAUUCCAUCUUCAUGAUUUUUUUUAUUGAUCACUUGUUUUUUUCCCCAUAGCAACAUUUACAUUAAUGCUGCAUUUGAGGUUGUGAUUUUGAUUUUGGAAGGUCAAAUGGCAGUAUCUGAAGCAGAAUUUAAAAUAUUAGUGGAAAAUCCACUUUGAUGACCUUAAAGUAAAAAACACAUAACAAUUAAACGUGACAUUUUAUAUAAAAUAACCAUGGAUGCACAUGCACACCCGAUUGUGGAGAUAAUUACCAAAAUAGUUUCAAACAUAUUAUACAUAUAAUAGUUUAGCCAUAAACUUCUCAAUUUUACUAAACUAAUCUUAAAUCUUUUUCGUCACGAGAGAAUGGCCUUAGUGGAGGGAAAGGAGAUCAGCCAUACUAACUUCUGAAGUUCAGCGAGAAAAGGAGGGUCCUGGGAGAGUGAGAUCGUAGAAAGGAAAACAGGAGAUAGAGUAUGAGAGUGACGAGAUGGAGGAGGCCCGUCAACACCACAGUAAGACAACGAUCUUCAUAUGGCCCAAAUCCAUUCUCGGCCUCUAUCGAUCCAUCAUGGGAUCGCACGCAAGCCUGUCUUCAAGCACGAAAGGUUGAAUUUCCCGAUAACCCCAAACUUGCCAUAUUUAUAAUUUAUUCAAUGCUCGUUAUCGGUUGCGCAAUUUUUAUUUUUUUUAUUUAUUGAAGUAGGAUACUUAGUCUUGGAGAAUUAAGUUGUUAUGACUGAUGAUUUGGUCUUCAUAUGUGUGGAUUCUAGAUAGGCUGGGGUAUUUAAUGAUAGGGUCAUGUUUGCCUCCGAUUCUGAUUACAGGAAACUCCUUUCAGUCAACCCUUCGAUUGAUAGAUUACACUUUUAUAUGAUCAUCGUUCACAUGAAAUUUAAAUAUUGUUAGAAUUUUCUUCUAAUAAUAGAUGGAUGGAGGAAAACACAAUUCUCAAUUAUAUUAGUGCUAGCACAAUUAUUAUAGACAAAUGAAUUUUCGAUAAUUAUUACCUAAAUCGCUUUAUGAAAAUGGAAAAUAUUAACACAUGUUCCUAGAACAUUAGUCAAAUUAUGAUAAUUGUACUUUGUCCAUGAAAAUUCAGUUUUUACGUUUAAAUUUAGGUAUACUUUCAUGUUAAGUCUUGUAUUUUAUUUUGCUUGGGCAAUUGAAUCCCCCAAUUUUCGAGUAUUUCAAUUUGCAUAAUUUCUUCAGUCAAGUAAUUUUUGUCAUUAAUAAUUGCAAGAACUUAGAUGUGGCGCUGGCACGCAGAUGUUACAUUUUUCUUUCUAAAAAAUAAAAAUUACAAGAAAAUGUUUUAAUAUUCAUUAUUUCUCAUUAAUAUAUUUAAAAAAAUUGAUGAAAAGAAGCGGAAAAGAGAGAUGGAAACAAAAAGGGUUGAGGUAAAACUGAAAAUUAAAUGCUGAAAAUUUAAGUAUUGCUUUAUAAGAGUUGUUUGAUGAUAAUUAAAAGUUAAGAGUAGAAUAUUAUCAAUCUCUUACCAAACAUAGAGAAAAGACUAUUAUUGGUAGGUUUUCCAAUAUAAUUGAUAAAAUUCUAAUUACUAUCAAUUAUUUUUCUAUUGAACAAUCUGGCAACCCUUCAUUUUAAGUGGAAUAUUGACUUAAUUAGGUCAUUUAAGUCAAUUCUAUUCAAGAUUAUCAAACAAGCUUAAUCUCAUUACAUUCUGAUUUUAGUUUUCAAAAGCUAAUUGGAUUAUCAAACAAGUUUAAAAAUAGAGAGAGGAGAGGGAUGGGGCUGAGAUGGACAAUCGCUGCUCACUAAAGAGAGUGGCAAACCCUCGCCAGAAGUAUCUAGCCCUCCCUAGUGCAAAUUGAUGCUUGGUGAGAUUAUGUGAGAUUGCUGAACGUGUUUGAUGGAAUGAAAAUGUUUGAUGUGUCUGAGGAAAAAAAGCCUUUGAUAUAAAAGAGUUCACCACCGAGGCAUGAAAAAAUACUCCUCCAAGGAUAAAGAAGGCAAAGGUUCGCCUCCAAUGAAUUGGACAAAGAAUCGAAAAAAUCACUUACUUCAGAGAAAUUCUCAUGUAUUAUCAACUCACAAAUUUGUAUCCAUAUAACUGAGAGUACACCUCUUAAUUAUAGAGGGAUUAGGACACUAAAAUAGGAAACAUUAAUCUAGGAAACCUUAACCUAGGAAACAUCAAAUACUAGAAAACCAACUUAUAACAGGAAACAUUUGACUCAGCUGAAUGAUUUUUUAUUCUUCAAUUUUUUUGAAACUCUAUCUUUUGGAUGCCUUCUCUCUAUUAGAACUCGCUGCUCCCGCAUCGCGAACCACCGAAGCUAGCAACAUCCUCCACUAUCGCAAGGGCUGUUAUCUCUUAGCGACCACAAAAAGUGUUCUUCCACCCUUCCAGUGGUUAUCCCCAGGUCAGAAACUCAACAGAUUAAAAAUGGAGGAAAAAAAGAAGAAAUGUUCAUCUUCAUUUUCGAGUGAGAAGCAAAAUCAUCAUGGAAAUGUGGCCGGUGCAAUACUUGUUUGGCUGGCUGAAGAGAAAACUAAGCUUUUUUUUUUUUUUUUUUGUGGGUGAUGAAAACUAUACCUUGAAAAGCUAUAAAGAUAUAUAGAUCAAAGAACAGAUAUGGUUUGCAUUGAAAAAAAACCUUUUUGCUGUCGCAUUCGUAGUCUGAAAUAUUUCACAUUUAGAAAAUGGUGAAAUACCGAAAGUUAGGUUUUCCCGAAAAAGUUAGAUAAAUAAAUGAAUGCAUGGGAUAAAUAAAUAAAAAGAUUUAUUUGUUUCAAGAAAAAUGAAUGAUUUGAAAAUAUUUUCCUAAUAAUUAUCGCAUGUAUUGCUUGAAAUAAUUAGUUAAUGAAAAAAAAUAUUUCAUAACCGAUAAUAAUUUAUAUCUAAAUAUUUUCAUGACAAAGAAAAUAUUUUCAAUAAUUAUAAAUUUUUCUGUUGAAUAAAUAUUUCAAGCAAAAUAAAUGGAGUUUAAGUGAUAUUUUCUUUAAGACUCUGUUUGUUUUACAGAAAAAAUUGAUUCAGAAAAUUUUUUCCUAUAAAUAAUUGUUUAUACUGCUUACAAAAAUAAAUGAACAAAAAAUAUUUUCAUCAUCUAUGAAAAUGUCUAGACAUAAAUUAUUGGUGAUAAUGAAAAUAUUUUUCAUUAAUUAAUUAUUUCAAUUGAUACAUGUGGUUAUUUUUAGAAAAAUGUUCUUUAAAUCAUUUAUUUUCCAUGAAACAAACGUGCCCUAAAGAAGAAAACCAAGUGCCAUUUUCUAUUGAAGGUUUGAUAUGAUCUGAUUUGAAAAUGGUGUCCAUGACAUAUAUAAUCCCAAUUAGAAUUUGGCCAGUUUCCGUUUAUUCUUCAAAAGCACCCUUCGAGAUGAAAUAAUUUAACUUUGAUUAGGGUUGGGGAUUCAUCUUGGUGCGAACAAACUUUUUUUUCUUGCAUUUCUAGUCAUUUUCUAUUAAGUAUUGAUAAGCAUCAUACAUAUGCUAAGUUGAAUCGGAAUUAUUAAAUCUGGAAGGUCUAAUGUGAGAUCCACAUGAAUCCCACUAAAUCGAUCUAAUGUUAACACACUUUCCAGAUAAUUUUUCAUUCUCUAUGCCGUUUCUUUUCGAACUUAAGGUGGGUGAUUGCUAAUUCAUAUUGUUGGUUUUCCAUGAAAAUUUUUCAAAUCAAACUACCGCCAGUUACAAAAAAUUAGUUCAUUUAUAGGAAAGUAGAAUACUAGACCUUUUAUUUUGAAUCUCCUCCGAGUCAAAUAGCUCUUCGGAUUAUCAUUAGGUCCACUUAUAGCAUAAUAGUAAGUUGGCUAUCUGCCAAAUAAAUUAUUUUUAAAAAAAAGGAGGGACCUUGGUUUCGUCCCAGAUGGGAAAAAAAAAAACCAAAAUUGAGUAAUGGGAAAAAAACCAGUUCCAAUCGAGAGCCAUCCACAUGAGGAGAGCUUGCCCUUGAAACAAGGCCAUGGUGAGGCUGGCCUCGCCUAGAUUUGGGCAAAGCUGCCUUGCUUGCGGCCCUCGGGCCUCACCUAGAUUUGGGCAAGGCCAGUAGUGAGGGCUACGACCCUCGCUGGCCACUCGACAAGGGCUUUGUGGCCCUCACCCAAUGGCCGAUGAUCGUUGGAGCCUCACUAGCCAUUGUAAGGGGGCGAAAGAAGAAGAAUAGUAGGGGAAGAAGAAGAACAGUGGGGGAAGAAGAGAGGAAAAAAGGAAAAAAAGAAUUAUAAAAUUAUUAAUAAAAUCGAAAAAAAUAAAAAAAAUAAUUUAAAAAUUGCCACGUCAGCAUUUGCCGGACGAUGGCAGUCAACGUCCACAUUGGCGCCGGUUGGCUAAAUUUGGCUGGAUUGACAUAAUUAUAAAAGAUUUAUGACUGAAUAGGCAAAAGAAGAAGAAGAAGAAGAAGAAGAAGAAGAAGAAGAAGAAGAAGAAGAAGUUUAGAAAUGAAUUGGGACAAUUACAAUAGGUUUAGGAUUUUUUUAGUAAUUUUCCUACAAUAAAAGAGGGAAAGCCAAUGAGGCAUCUGUCCCAGUGGCUGGGAGGUUGGGAUGGGGACAUUAAAGUCCAAGGGUCAAACCCUGGCAAAAACCAGAGAAAAAAAAAUAAUAGAAAGAAGCUGUCCAAUUAAUUUCUAACUUAUUGCAUGUAUGUUAAAGCAAUCUAAAACUUUUUAAAUUUAUCAAUUUAGUUCUUAACAUUUGUACAAAAUUUCAUUGUAGCCCUUCUAGCUAAUAUUUGCUGAAAAUUUGGUGAUGUACCAUAUAGGACAAUUGACAAUGACUUACUGGAAAUCAUAUUUGAUUGUCGAUAGCUCAUCAUCUAAUCUAGAAUGGUUAAUUGUGCAAACAUGUGUAAAAAUUCAUCCACACUAUAUGACAAUCAAGUGCAAGACAUCAAACAUGAAAAUUUCUUUUUGAACGACACAUUAAAAAGGUUGUAUAACUUUUGUCAUGGCCAUGCAAAGAAUGUCGUUUUUCACAUCUAAUUGUCAUCAAGUUAAAAUUGUCCUAAACCGCAUAAUUUUUUUGACAAGAUUUUUGCCCGUUGAAGCUAAAAAGCAAAAUGUUUGUAAAAUAAUUUUUGUAUUUCAACCAAUGCCAUGAUAUUUAGCAGUAACAAAGUGCAAAUACGAUUCUUUUAUGUGAUUUAUAAUCUUUUACAACGACUUAAGACGUUUUUGCCAUAUUGUUUUGUCGGUUUUGAAUCACACAACGAAAUAUCUUUCACCAAGUGUUAUAUUUUAAUUUUUAUUAAAGGAAACUUAGGAUCUAUGCUAGUAUUGGACAUAGAGGGUCAAAUCUAAUGGAUAUAUAUAUAUAUAUAUAUAUGUAUAUAAUAUAGUCUCAAAUUUAAUGGAGUUAUUCAAUAUAACCUUGGAAUUAAUGAUAACUAGUGUCGAAAUCUAAUCAAUAGCUUGAUUCAAACACUUCAACACGUUAAUGAAAGCCCAUUAAAAUCGAAGUGGUUUAUACAACAUCGAAGCUAAUUCAAUACUAGGAAGGCACUGCUCCUAAUUGAGUUCAAGGACACAACAUCGAAACCUAAUCGAUGACGCUGGAUAGUAGAAACAACACCCGAUAGGUACUGCUCCUAGAUGGAUAUAAAGACACAACGUCAGAAUCUAAUCGAUGAAGCUAGACGAUGGAAAUAACACUUGGUAGGUACUGCUCCUAGAUAAAUACGAGGACACAACGUCGUAAUUUAAUCGAUGACGCUGGAUGAUGGAAACAACACUUGGUAGGUACUGCUCCUAGAUUGAUAUGUGGACACAAUGUCGGAAUCUAAUUGAUGACGUUGGACGGUAGAACAACAUUGGAAUCUAAUCAACAACACUACCUAGAAUAGAGGCACUCGUCAAAAUUGAAUCGACGAUGGGAAUCUGAAGCUACAACUAAACUAAGCUAGGCUAUGAUGACUAAAAGGAUAAGAUAAAUGAUUUUGUGUGUUGUUUGAGGGGCUUCUUCAUUGAAUUGUCUACAGUAUUUAUAGGCCAAUCUGAUAACCGUCGACGGUUGGUUGAUUCCUCCAUGAAAGUCGCUCCAUGUUCUCUCUUUAACCGCUUUAUCCAUAUCUUAUUGUCUUCUGAAUUGUUCGAUGAUACUCACAUGACUUGUCCAUCAAGUAUUAAUUGCUCCUUUGAUUUUGCGCACCCUUUUAAGCACCAAGUGUUUCCGCCUAAAUCCCGAUGCCAAUUCUAUCUGAAUUUUACGUCUUUAGUAAUAUUUCUUGGCCUAGACACGUGGCAAUCAAUUACUUUAUCAUUGAAUCACGUAUCUCCACUUGUAGGCCCAUCGAAAUCCAGUCUAAGGGCUCUUGAAAACCUUGGCCAUCCUUGGUUCCCAUGACUGACUUGGGCUGGGUUGAUAUUAAUCACAACCCACACGUGACAUCAAGGGUGAUUUUGAAUGCCUAUAUUUCUUGUGACCAGCACGUGAUAGUAAAGAUAAUUUUAGGUGUCAAUACAUAUACAAGUGCAAAAUGUUGUAAAAUGUUACUUCUAUAAUUCCCGUAACAUUUUUCUAAUACACAUACAAUAUUAAUCAUUUCCAAUCGUAUGACGUCACGAUGGUUUGUUAUAGCUAUAAUGAAAAAUGUCAUAAAACAAAAUUAGAGGAUUUUGUGCACCAUAAAAAUCUCAUUUGAAAAUUUCCAAAAACCCGUUCAAUUGCCCACCCUUAAAGAAAAAGGCUCCCUUGGGGUCACUAUUCGACUGUCAUUGACCGGAAAUAAGAUCCGGUUCCUUGAAAAGUGUAAAAGAAAAAGAAGAGAUAGAAGAAAUCCAACCAAACAAAAAGGAAAAAUAAAAAGGUAAUAUAAGUCAAGAAUGGGCCCCACUUGAUCUUGUUGAGGUUUGCUGAUACAUGUGGAGGAGGAGGUCCCCGAUCGGGAGGGACCCCCUCCUCUCGUCCCAUGGGAUUGGAGGCCCCAUCAUUUUCCAAGUUCCCUAGUCCACCCGGAGGCCGCAUUAUAAGUUCUCCAAUUUAUAAUGCGGCCUCCGCGUGGACUAGGGAACUUGGAAACCCAUGGGACGAAAUUUACUUCCCCAAACGUGGACUAGGGAAGUCCCAUGGGAAAUCAUUAUCUAUUCCAUGACCCCAUGGGACUUCCUGCCUUAUAUAUACAUACCCCUCGAAUUACCUGAAGUGCGCAUUCACCACAAACUCUUAGCCUCUAGUGCAGAGCCAAAGGAAGCAUCAAUUGUCUCUAUUGGAAAGCUAGCAACGGAUCGAUGUCUGGCAUCAACUUCAAUUCAACUGAGACUCCAAGGUUAGUUUUGCAUUCGAAUAGUCAUAAUUUACAUCAAUUAGAUAGAACUCGUCAUUGUAUGCACAUAUGUAUCUUGUUCCUUAUGAACUGUUAGCAAUGAUCGGCUUUGCGGUAUGUUGAUUUCCAACCUAGGAUCAAGAACCUAUCUUGUUCAUGUGAGUACUCGACCAGACAAGUUGGACAGGGAUCGGCUGUAUUUUUUUUUUCUUUGUUUCUUCUAAUACACGCAGAGACUUUUGGUGACAAUUAACUGAAAAGGCAGCAUGAUUAAUGAAACUGGUGGGUUGUUUUGCCUUUGUUAUCAUGUAAAUCACUCUCCUUUGGAAUGUUCAUUAAUCUGCCGACCAUUUUGGUUCCAUAUGUUGUCGAUCGCUUGCUUUAUUUGCUUGUUUGGCAAAUGCUCAUUCUGAUCUUUCUCCGAUACAAUUAUGCCACUUCUUGCGUUACUUCUGAGCACAUGUUCUGGGCUUGAUUCUCGUGUGGCAUUCAUGCUUUCACAUAGACCAUUCUUUGUUUUGAUACUGCGAAGCUAAAGUAACCGAGACGAUUUUUCAUUCACUAAAGAAGAAGAACCCAAAAUAUAAUAAAACAGUGAAAUUAAAGCAGUCUCCAUCAAGAUUGAGACACAGAAGCCUACCGAAUGAAAAGGAGAGAGAGAGACUGAAAAUUCAAAUGCAAUUUACUAAUUUAUGAUUUAUUACAGAAUAAGAAAAUAAAGAAAUUAAGUAAUUUGAGUUGAUUUGUCAGUUUGGUCUCGCCGGUUUGAUUCCUCACAUGGAAUUGGGAAUUGGACUAGUUAUUUUCCGUUUCAAAUUUUUCGAAUCAAGAAUUAGACUAGUUCUUUUAGAAACCACCCAAUUAGCCAAUUCCCGGUGGUUCUUGGGUUGGACCGGGACCGAUAUACACUCUUAUGAACUACAUCCUCCUUUGGAGCAAAAGCAAUCUGUGCACUUGGCUUUUUAUGUUUGCUGGAGCUUUUGUUUGUGCGAUUUUUGCAAAAUCCAUCCAUAUCGAUCAUGAGUCAUUUAUUACUUAUUGCAAUUGAUCCGUUUAUACUAACUAUAUGGACUUUGUAUGUUGCCAAUGCUGAGCUCUAGUUUCUAAUUUUGGAUAAGCAUAUGGUAUGAUCGGUAGUCAUGCAAUUUGGGAGAGAUCGUCACCAUCAUAUUUCAUAUGUACAAUUUUAUUUAUGGAGUAAGCUUCCAUAAAGAUCAUACUAUAAGCUGGUAUUAUUUCUUUACCUCAUAAACUAAUUAUUUCAAAUUUCGUUGUUCAUUAUUGUAGACUCGGACAGCAAGAAGAUGCCAAAGCUAAAAAAUCGAAAGGUUUCUUGAUUUUUUGGCUUCAAUGGUCAUUUGCCCUUUUUGGAGCUAAGGAAUUGCUUUUAAAUAAGCAAAUAACUUUCAUCACAAUAGCUGUAGUCCUCAUCGUGCUCUUUGGCAUCCAUUCAUGGACAACACAAAGCGAUGGUGGAAAGACAUUCAUCAAUUUCACGUUUAUCAUGCUUGGAUGUGUCGUUGUUGGAGUAACGAUUGACUUGAUCGUAUUGAAUUCUUUCAUCAAGUGGGUUAUCUAUGGUUUGUUUCUUAUCAUGGUAGCUACAAAUCCCAACUACCGACAAAUUUACCAAGACAUGAAACAGAUCUUCAAGUCCAUGUACGAAGAAAUUUCUUCAAGACUCAAAAACUUAUUCAUUCAAUCACAAGGGAUUAUCAAAAAACUUUUGAAAAUUAUUAUUGCAAACCAAGAAGAACCAUCAAUGACUAAUAAUACUGUGACUAGUCCUAUUGGCGGUGAUGGAAGCAGAAUUGGGGAGAACAAUGUCUAGUUGAUCUUGUGGUGAAAUUCCACAUCCUUUAUCUCUCAUUUUCUCUUUGUAUUUCAAGAUGUUUGUAUGCUAUGUGAAAUGAAUAACUGAGCUUUUUUCUCCAUAUUAUUUGUUUGUACGAUAUGAAAAAGUGUGAUCAGAUGAUAUAUUAAAUUUGCAACUCUCGCAUAUUUGUCCAAGGUUGACAAUGAAAAUCUAUUUCCCAUCAAUUUUGUGCCCUAUGCUAUUCACUUUUACUUUUGUCCUGCCUGCAGUAUGAAUCCACAAUGUCCUUUCCCGGAAAAAUUGUGAUGAAAGACCCAGUAAUGUCAUGUUUACCGUUUGGGAUUUUAUAGCAUUUCAGAUGACAAAGGAAUCAUAAAUCGUGUUUGAGUUUUUUAAUAAUAAAAAGGUAAAAAAGUCACAAUGACCUAGCUUAUCAGAGGAGUCAUAUGUCCAUUUCGAACGUUUUGUUUGGGUCAUAUUUUUUAGUCCACCAAGGACAAUCUUUUAGAAUUGGCAAUCCGUUGUCGCAGCUCCACAAAGUUGCUCCUGCACUAUCGUAAGCAAAUUCGAACACGGGACUCUUUAGAAAAAGUCAAAAAGACCCAAGGCAUUUGACUAUUGUCACUUGUGUUAGAGAUCAGUACUGUGUUGAAGAUAAUCUCUAAUCCUUGGAACAGAGAGAAACAAUCGGAAAGGAAAAGUAAAAUCAGCCAGCCUCAGAUCAUGAUUUCAAAGAGACGUUGCAUCCAUCAUAUUUGAGAUCUUUGAAUUGGGUAAAUCUCACUCGAUAAAUGUCGAUGAUGCUUACCAUGACUGUUAUUCAAGUGUCCAAAAGGUGAAUCACUUCAUUAUUAAUUUUUGAGGAAUCCCAAUAAAACAAAAGCCAUUACACUCUAUUAACAUUUAUGGACUCACAAGGUAUAGGUUUUUGAACAAAAAAAAGGUAUAGGUUUGGAUGGUAAAGGAGCUCGGUCAUUCCCUUUUGAUGUUGGGUUCAAGUUUUAUUCAUAGCAUUUCACGCAUAAAAUCCUAAAUAUAUCUGACUAGUGUGGGUGAGUGCCCCCUAUCUCCCAAAGGGUAGACUAGUUGAGGUGUGUGAAGAUCAGUCUGAACACUAUGUGACUGCUAAAUCUUAAGAGAGUUAUACACUUAAUUACAAUAUGUCAUGGUUACAAUAAUUUAAUUGGAGAAUGAUGGAAAUUUUUCUGUGAUUAAACACGUUCACAAAAGUAGAUUUGAACGAAUCCAAAAAUUGGGAGAUUAUUUUAGGAUAUUUAAUAAAAAUGUGAGUUUUAUCAAUGAUCCAAUAUGACAAGAACUUGUAGCUCGAAAUAGAUACUGAAAGGGGGAGAUGAGAAAGGAGAGAACAAAAGCGGAGGAAGAAGGAAACACACCGGAAAUUGUGUGCUUUCCUAGACAUAUAUUCUCUCUCCUCUCCCUGUCUAGAAGGAAUCUCUCCCGAGCCUCCCUCGCCCCUUUCCACGUUGCUAUAUCACCGUCUUGUUUCUAGACUUCCCCAAUCUUUCUCGGUCGACACCAUCAACGAGAGUGGUUUUAUUUAAGGGCUAACACUAUUGAAAAACUUCAAAUCGAUAUACUUUUAAUAAAGAAAAAACUUCAAAUUAAUAUACUUUUAAUAAAUUUAUUCUAAAUGAAUUUUUUAAAUACUAAAAAUCUUAAAUUGAUAUAUUUAUAACAAAUUUACUCUCCGUUAGUUCUCAUUAUAUUUGAUUUAUAUAACGUAAAAUCACAAAUUAUUAUACUUGGUAUACCUGUUAAAUACCACGUAUUAUCCAACUCAGCAAUUUGAUGAUAAAAUUUAGCAAAAACUAAUAAAAGCAAUUUGUCAUAGUAUUAAUCCUUUAUUUAAUUGACCGGAUGAGAUAUCUUGUUCACCACUCAUUUGAUUUACUGUAUCCACUAUCCUCAAUUAUUGUAGGACCAUGCUCUUAAAAGUUACGCAAGAAAGGGGAAGCACAGCAGGUGUUUUUCAUUUAUCUUGCAAUUAACCCACCCCUUGUUCCUUUUCGAAGUAUUUAUAUAAAUCCUUUCAUUCAUACCAUUAACUUUCCCAAUUUUCAUAAAUAAAGUAUCUUGGAACAACGAAACACCUUCCUUUUGUUUUGUUUUGUUUUGUUUUGUUUUUUUAAAUUAUCUCAACAACUAGAUAAAAAAAAAUAAUAAAAAAGAGUCCAAUUGUCCAUUUCGACGAUAGGCGUAACUAACCUGCUAUUAAGCAUAGUAAUUUUUUUUAAUAACCUUUAGAACUUUUUCUUUUUUAAAAAAAAAAUUAAGGGCAAUGGAAGGGAGGUGUUUUUGGAGUAAUACACCUUCUACGUGGAAUUGCCACAACAUGGACAUUCUUCUGAGCAAAUUUUUUUAUCUGCUUAGCCUACCCUCCUCUUGUAUUCGAGUGGUAGGUUUUAAGGGGCGGGACGAUUUAAUUCCCGAUGGGUGCUCGUUUUAGGUCCGAUAAACUAAUUUUUGUUUUGGUAGAUAGUUUAAUGUUAAAUAAUUAGUCCUCAACAAUGGCGGACCUAGAACUUCACAUUAGGGGAGCUGGACAAUAAAUUUUAACCAAAAAAUUUACGAAUUAUAUUGUGAAACUAUAUGGAAAUAGACAUAAUUGAUAUGGCAUCUAAAACAUUCGGCAUCUUGGAAGUUUUUCUGGACACUAUCUUCAAGUUUUUGUUGAAUUUACUGAUUAAACGCUUCAAGUUCAUCAAAUACGAACCAAGCGUGUGUUGACACUAGUUCAAUGAAUAAAUACUUAAACAAACUUUAAAUCAAGCCACUUAAACCAAUACUCGGGGCGAGUGUUUGUACCUCGGAUGGAUAGUGGCUCGGGGGAAUCACGAUAGCCCGACAGUGGCUCACGGCCUAGUGGCCGGCGGGUGACCAGACUGUGGUAUCCGACACGGCAUGGCUAGGCUCCUCACGGACGUUGCCGGUGGUGAGAUAUCGCCAUUCACGAAGGUAAGGCUGCGGUGGUGAGUCCGUGGCCGAGGAUGGUGGUGCACGGCUAGGCCGCGAGGAAUGCCAAGGGAACCUGCGAAACCAAAGAAUCCGCAGCUGGUGUGGUUCGGUGAUCAGUGAAUUCACGGCCCAGGAUAGCUCGGCCGUGACGAGUGCCGCUCGGUGGGAUUCCUUGAUUGAACAACAAAGUCACGAUCUUCUCGUCUUCAUUUCCACGUCGUCUCUCCUUUGGGAACUCAGUCAACUUUCCAGCUUUCACACAACAAGAAGAGACGAAUUCCACGACUUCUCUUCCCCUUCUAUUAUUACUUCUCCACUACCUGCGUCUGUCUUCUUCCCUGCUACCACCAAACUCCAGUUUCUAUUUGCUUUCAAAACCAACGAGGGCAAGAUUGAGCGACAGUCGGGGGCACAUGUGGGAAUCGCGAGCAGCUUGCUAGCGAAAUAUCGACGGGCACUGAUAGAUGAGAGCGAUUCGGUGGUAAUUGCGGACUGCUGAUCACCACGGUAAGGACCUAUCUAGCUCGGUGAAGUCGCCGGAAACCGCUGCAGGAAGCUUACGAUGGCCGGAAAACCUCCAAGAGGGUGAAGCUCGUAAGCGCACAAAGGUUAGAUGCGGCUGGGGACAGAGACGAUUGCCGCUGCAAUUCUAUGCGUAGAGUCGUGUCUCCUCUGUAUCUUCCCUGCCGUCUCUCACCGUGGAGAACAUGAGUCCUCUUUUUCUGUGAAUCCUAUGUGAAGCGCCCCCCUCCUUUUUCUUGUGAACCUAUUUAGGCCCACGUCAUCGACUUCCUCUUAGGACCACCAUAUAUUUCCUUUCCCCUAUCAAUCAACUAAGCUUAUUUUUUUUUAUUUGACCGAAUCUUGCCUACACUCUUCACCUGUGACAUUUAUCCGUCCCUUUUAUAUUUGGUAUCCGCAAAGAAUCGUGCACGCAAGGAAAUUAAGCCCGGUUCGCGAAAAUUCUAUGAUAUAAUUGCCAAAUUACUUCUCAUAAUCUAUCCGAGUUUAGCACCUCACGUGCCUGAAGUGCAUUCAUUCAUUCAUUCAAUUCACGCUCAGCCAAGAAAAAAAAUAUCUUUAUGACAAAUCCACGUACGCUUGAAGUGAAAGAAGUGCAUUCAUUCAUUCAAUUUACUGCCAACUCUUUGCCUCUCGCGCAGAGCUGAAAGGAAACAUUAAUUCUCUUUGUUGGAAAGCUAGCACAAAUCGAUGUUUGAUUUCAAUUUUACUUCUAUUGAGGCUCAGAGGUUAGUUUUGCAUGCAAACAAUCAAAAUUUACAUUGAUUAAAUGGAACUUUUCAUUAUUUGCAUAUGUGUAUCUUGUUCCUUCCUUAUGAGCUAACUAUUAGGGGUUAAAACUCAAUUGUUUGCAUAUGUGUAUUAGGGGAUUAGUAGACUCUUGAUUAGAUAGAAACCGUUCCUUGUUUGCAUGUGUUAUUGUAUAUCUUGUUCCUUAUGAGCCACACAAAUCUUGUGCACGAUGAUGUCCAUGGUUUGUGUGUGUCCAAUGCCCUGGAUCAUGUGCCUAGUGCCGUGCAUCAUGUCCAUGGGCUCGUGUGCCCCAAGAUCAUCGUGUCCAUGGCUCGUGUGCCCAGUGCCGUGCAUCGUGUCAAUGGACCGUGUGCCCAUUUACCUUGCAUUGAAUCCAUGGUCGGUCCUGGUCUGGUUCUUGGAUUAGAACGGGAACAGCUGUAUUUUUUUUUUCUUUUUGUUUCUUCUAAUACGUACACAGACUUUUCAGAAUUAGGUGGUAAUUAGCUGAAAAGGCAACAUGAUUAAAUGAAACUGGUGUGGGUUGGUUUGCCUCGGCUAUCAUGUAAAUCACUCGUCUUUAGAAUGUUCAUUAAUCUGCUGACUAAUUUGGUUCCAUAUGUUGUCGAUCGCUUGCUUUAAUUGCUUGUUUGGCAAAUGCCCAUUUUGAUUUUCUCUGAUAUAAUCAUGAUGCCAUUCCUGAGUCUGUGUCCUGGGUUUGAUUCUCAUGUGGCAGUCAUGCUUUCACGUAGACCGUUCUUUAAUUUGAUACCAUGAAGCUAAAACUAGCAGAGGCGAUUUUCAUUGACUAAAGAAGCAGACUGGCACGUGGAAUGAAUAGAAGUACUCGAGAAAGAACCCCCCAAAAAAAAAAAAAAAAAAAGUGAAAUUAAAGCAGUCUAAAGAUCGAGAGAGAGGCACGCCAACCGAAUGGAAAAUAGACACAGAGACUGAAAAUUGCAUUACAAUUUACUAAUUUAAGAUUGGCUUCAGAAUAAGAAAAUAAAAAAAUUAAGUAAUUUGAGCCGGGCCGCUGGUCCGGUUCUGCCUUGGAAUUGAAAACCGGACAGAUUAUUCUUAAUUCCUUCGGGAAACACCCAAAGCUACUUGGUUCGGGCUGGUGCGAUCCAAUUCCUGAGUUGGAUCCAGACUGACGCACACCCCUAUCCUCCUUAGGUUAGGAGCAAUCAACACAUUUGGCUUUCUAUGUUUGUUAGAGCUUUUAUUUGUGUGGUCUUCGUAAAAUCCAUCAAUAUCGAUGAGUCAUUUAUUACAUAUUGCAACUGAUCCAUUUAGACUAAUUAUAUGGACUUUGCAUAUGGCCAGUGCUGAGCUCUAGCUUGUAAUUUUGGAUUCACAUAUGACCGGUAGUAAUGCAAUUUGGGAGAGAUUGCCACCAUCAUAUUUCAUAUGUACUACUCAUUGUACAGUUUUAUUAGUGGAUAAGUAGGCUUCCAUAAAGCAAGAUUUAAGCAUGCAGCUGGACAGCUCGUGAGCUGAUAUUAUUUAUUUGCCUAAUAAAUUAAUUAUUUCAGAUUUUUUUUCUUUAUAUGGAGGCUCAGAGAAUAAGAAGAUGCCAUCAUUGAAAAAUCGAAAAAUUUCUUGACAUUCUCGCCUAAAGGGUCAUUUGCUCUUUUAGGAGCUAAGGAUGUACUUUUAAAUAUGCAAGCAACUUUCAUCACGAUAUUUGCAGUUCUCAUUGUGCUAUUUGGCAUCAAUUCAUGACAACACAAAACAAUCGUGGAAAGACAUUCAUCAAUUUUGCGUUUCUCAUAAUAAGAUGCUGUGUUGUUGAAGUUGCAAUUGACUCAAUCAUACUAAAUUCUUACAUCAAGUGUGUUAUCUAUGGUUUAUUUCUUGUUAUGGUGGUUACAAAUCUUGAUUACUAACAAAUAUACAAAGAGAUGAAACGGAUCUUCAAGUGCAUUGGCGAGAAAUUUCUUUGAGACUCAAAUAUUAUUCAUUCAAUCACAAGAAACUAUAAAAAAAAAUAAUAACUUUUCAAAAUUAUUGUUGCAGACCAAGAAGAAUUAUUGGUGAAUAACGACGAUGUGACUCCAACCGUUGGUGGUGAUAAAGGCGGAGUCGGAGAGGAGAUUCUCUAAUUGAUCUCGUGAUGAAAUUCAACACAUUUUAUCUCUCUUUUUCCCUUUGUAUUUUAAGAUGUUUGUACGUUAUGUGAAUUAGAUGUUUGAGCUUUUUAGUCCGUAUUAUGUGUUUUUACAAAUAUGCAAAAGUGUGGUCAGACUAUAGUAGUUCUUCAUUGAUGCAUUAAAUUUGCAACUUCUGCAUAUUUGUCCAAGAUUGAUAGUGCAAAUUUAUUUCCAAUCAAUUAUGUGCCUAUGGUAUCACAUUUUUCCUCCCUGUAGUAUGAAUCCACAAUGCCCUUCCCCGCAAAAUUUGUGAUGAAAAACCCAAUCAUAUCAUUUUUAGUGUUUAGGAUUAUAUAGCACCUCAGAUGAUAAAGGAAUCACAUGUCAUGUUAGAGAUAAUUAAUAAUCAAAAGGUAAAAAGAUUCACCAUGACUUAGCAAUUAUCUUAACGUUAUCAUAGGAUUUAUAUGUCUAUUUCGAAUGCUUUGUUUGAGUAGUUAUUUAAUCCACCGAGGAUAAUCUUUCAGAAUCGGCAAUUUGUUGGCGCAGCUCCAAAGAGUUACAAGCAUCGGGAUCCUCUUUUUAGAAGUGAUUUGCUCGUGCACUAAUGUAAGCAAGUUUGAACACGCAAUUCUUUAGAAAAAUAAAAAAAGAACCGAGCAUUUGGCUGGGUCACUUGUUUUAGAGAUCAAUAUUGUGUUGAAGGUAAUCUCUAAUCCUUAGAGUAGAGAGACAAUCGAGGGGCAAAAAAAAAUGUCACCACCCUUGUAUCAUGAUUUCAAAGAGAUGUUACAUCCAUCAUUUUUUAGAUUUAACAGGUAAAAAGUUUUUGAGUUAAGUAAAACUCAAUAAAUUUCCAUGAUGCUUAUUAUGACUAUCAAGCAAGUGUCCAAAAGAUGAAUCACUCCAUUUUUUUUUUUUUUUUAAUUUUUGAGGACUCCCUACAUAAUAAAAGUGCAAAAAAAGUGGGAGAAUUACCUAAAAAAAUCGUAAACCUAUUAUAAUUGUGCCAAUUUAAACUUUUUAGUCAAUUCAAUCAUAAACACUUUGCAAUAAAAUUUCACAAAAAUAAAAAAAACACUUUGCAAUAAUGCCAAUUUAGUAUAUCCGAUCAAUUUUGACUAACUAGUGCUAACGUGGAUGCUAACUAGCACCGGUCAUUCAAUUUACGUUUUUUAAUAAUACUUUUCUUUUCUUUUUUAAUUUUUUAUUAAUUAUUAUUAUUUUUCUUCCUUUUUUGUUUGUUUGUUUGUUUGUUUGUUUUUUUUUUUUUUGUUUUUUUUUUUUGUUUUUUUAUAGUGGCCGGCAAGGCUAGCCUAGAUCUGGUCGAGGCCUGGGGUUGCGGGCGAGGGUAGCCUUGCCAUGGCCUCCCCAGCCAUGGGUGAAGGCGGCCUUGUAAGAGUUUUUCUAAUUGUGGACUACAUUAAUUGAUAUUGUAAUUUACCGUUUAACGUUUAUCGUUUUACGGGGUUUGGUCUAAGGUGAGAUGGUAGGUUUCUUAAUUAGUCUAAUAUGGGCUGGCUAGUGUGGGCCGAGUUGAGCCUGGCCCGUAAUGAGGGGGACUGGCUAGAAACUCUAUAAAUAGUGCUCAAGUCUCUCCUCUAACCAAAAUUCUCACAUAUAUUCUCACCUAAGGGGCGUUUACCUAACGCUACACGUGAGGAGGGGCCGCCUCAUUGAGCCAGUGAUUCAGAGGGCAAUAGAGGAGAAGGACUUGCGCGUGGAACAUUGUGUUUCCGCUUCCGCUUCAAGAACAAUGGAUUCCAAAACAGGUGCGUCAAUUCUUUCUACUUAAUCAUGCAUGUUUUUGUUCUAGUUAUGGAGAUCUUGGGGUUUGCGCAAUCUGUGUCUAACAUGUGGUAUCAGAGCCUCCAUAACCCUAGAACACGAACAUAAUUGAUUUUGCUCUAAUUUGUACGGAUUAGCACUAAUUAGUACGGAUCUUGCCAUAAUUUGUGAUUUUCGAGACUUUUAGUUCAAUACAAUUAAAAUUAAAUCACAAAUUCGGACUGGGCUCGACGAGACGAGCAAAACCGUGGGAGGCGCGUCGCCGAGGGAGGCCCCACGCGCCUCCACGCGCAGCCACGCGCCGCCGGGCGUCGAACACGCGCGCCCACGCGCGUCCACGCGCUCCUAUGCGCGGGGCACUGCUCGCGCGUGCAGCACACGCGGGCGCUGACGUCACGAUGACGUCAGCGACCCGGAUUCGGAUUCCGCACGCGACGUCAUGACGUCAGCGACCCGGAUUCGAAUUCGACCCGACGACCCAACCCGACCAAUUACCCGACCCGUGACCCGACCGACCCCGUUGACCUGACCCGACCCGGUCAGUCGUUGACCGAACUGGUAAACCGGUCGGACCGGGCGGCUGAACCAGAUGGUCGGACCGGUUUUGACCGGAUUUUGACGCCCGCGCGUGGGCUCCACGCGCCGCGCACUCAGGCGGCGCGUGCAGGCGCGUGGAUGCUCUGAUUUGCGCGUGGCCGGUGGCGUUGGACUCGUAUGAUUAUUUCCUACGUCAUGGUGUAUUUAUUUUAUAUUUUUAAUUAUUUUAUGGAUGUGAAAAUGCAUGCAAAGCCCUAAAUACGUGCUUUUUAGUGUAUUUUUUGCGUAUUUUUCUUGUAUUUUUCUGUGAUUUAGAAAAUACAGGUGCCGGGAUACAGGUAUGUUAUCACAUAAACAUUAUAAAAGUGUGAUUCAUUAAUAAAAAUUAAACUUUAUUGUAUUUUAUUAAUGAAUAAGGCAAUGUAAUUAGCAUGGCAUGUGAUUUGAGUGAUAUGAUGCCCCUAUUGAUAUUGCUAGUAUGAGUACCUAGAGGGGGUGAAUAGGUGCCUAAACAAUUUAUCGAUAUACGGAAGCGAUUUUUAACAUAUGAUAGAAAGUAAAUUCUCUCUUAAUUAACAAAAUGAAAUACGAUUGAGGUAGAGAGAGUGAGGAAGAGAAAAUUGAACAUAGGAUUUAUAGUGGUUCGGCUUAUUCCAAGCCUACGUCCACUCUUCCUCACUGACAGCCCACCGGCUGGAUUUCACUAUGAUCAAAAGAGAAGUUACAGCACAGCUUUGCCUUGAUUCCACAGUGUAGAUGUUUUACCACACCUCCUCAAGGUCUCUCACAAAUAUAGACUCUCUUUUGUAUACAAGUAUUCGCUCAAAGGAUUUAUCUAAACAAAUAGGAGCUUCAGACUUUGGAAUUCUUCUAUCGUGCACGCCUCAAACAACUAAGAACGUCUUCCUUAUAUACUCCUUUAUGCCAUCAUACUCGUUGGCACUUACCAAAGGAAUUCCUCCAAUCUACCCGUUGGACGGAAUCAAUUAGGAAGAUUGUUCGAGCUAUUGAAGGAACGUGUUGAUAGCCCAUCAAUCAUGUUCGCCCAUACAAUCAGGAUCUCGGUUUCCAUAAGUAGAACCUUCCAAUAAUAUUUAGACAAUCAUCGAAUCUUCAGUCAUUGAAUCAAUCUUGAUCAAUCAAAGGAUUCUGUUACGUCUUCUCCAGCUACGAGAUCUUCUCCAGAUGAUAAGGUUAAAUCCUGAACAAAACAACAAGUUCUGGAUAACCUUUCUUCAACGGAUUAGAGACUGUCAAUGAGGAUAGACUUUGAGUCUUGAGUCUGGCUAUCCGGAAGUCUUCAGACUUUAAAUAACAGAGUCUGCAGACCUUCAGACUAGACUGAUGGAAACGUUUUGUCAACUUCAAAACACUUCAAGAAGAUUUCUCCAACAAUCUCCCCCUUUUUGAUGGUGACAAAACUUUCCUGCAGAUUUGGAUAACUAUGACCUGCAAAACAUUUCUCAAACACAUAUGCAUAUCUUAUAAAGAUGAAUGGCUAAAAGAUUAACACUAGAAUCUGCAACCACAGAAAAUAAGUUAGUCUAGUAUAUAAUAAAACCAUCCAUAAGAUAUCAAUACUUGUUAAUAGAAGCAGUCAAGUCCAAGUCUAGUUCAGAUCUCAUCCAGACACAAAACAAAGUCAAAGUCUGUCAAAAACAGUUAAACAACAACACAAUCCAACAAACAGUUAGAAAAUGAUUGAAAGUUUUUGAUCAAAUCAUGCAUCUCUCCCCCUUUUUGUCAUAAUUAAAAAGGAUGAGAUGAAGUCUUGGGAAUGCGGACAAGCUGGAAAUCUUUCAUAGACUGAACGAUGCCUUCCAGCCUUUUAAAGUCUUCCUUUAGCUGUACAACCUCCUCACUCUUGGCAUUGGCCUGAUUAUGAAUAGAGAGGGCUUGCAUCUUAUCAUUCAAUGAACAGGAAGAAGCUUGACUUUCAUUCUUCAAACUUUGAACUUCGCAUCCCAAGGCAUAAAUCUGACCUUUCAUCUCCAAGAGAAUAUCCAUGAUUCUGCGAAAAUCUGCUCCAUUAUCAGUCUGAGUACUUACUUCGGCUCGAUCUGCAGAAGAUGGUAGAUCAGCAUAAUCUUGCAGAUUUGGCGAUGACACUUCAUGACCUUCUUCUGGAAACUGAGAUGCAUAAACAUCUUCUGGGUCUGCAGGCGAGCGACUGACUCCUUCACUUGCAUCAGGAUAUGAAGAUGUCACUCCUUUCUCCUGAUCUCCCCCUGUUUCCAUGCCUACAGGUGGAGAAGAGAUUUCCUCAGGUUCUCCUUCUUCUCUUCUUUCUUCUUCAGGUCUUUCUUCCUCUGCUUCUUGCUCUGCUUCUCUUUCUUCUUCUUCCUUCUCCUCUGCUUCUUUCAUCUUUUGUUCCGAUUCUUUCUGUGGAACAGGACGACCUAAAUUCUUCAAAGCCAUUGCAGAGAUGGUGAUGUCUUCGUCAUCAUCUUCAUCCUCAACGAGGAGAGCUCUUCUUCUCUUUGAUGAAGCAGCCAUGGGCUCCUUCCCUUUUCUCUUAGCAGCAGAAGAGAGUUGAUGAGAUUUGGCAGGAGUCUUCUCCUUGAAUUUCUCCAAUUCCUUGCUCAGUUCCUUCAGACGCAUUUUGGUCACCAUUUUCAGUCCUACCACCAUAUGAUCGCAUGAUCGAACACAAAAGAUUUGCGGAGGCUGAAUAUUCAGAUGUCUGAAUAACUUCGUAACAAGGCUUGGGUAAGGGAGUUGACCUCUGUCCUUCAUCACUGCUCUAUACAUGUGAAACAUGACAGUAUGAGGGAGAGAAAACUUCUUACCACAGAGGAUGGCAUACAUCAACUUUGCCUCAGAGCUUGAAACAUCAGUUUUGGAAGUUGAUUUCGGCCGAAGGCAAUUGAUCACAAUCUUGUGAAGCAAGAUGUUGAAUGCAUUCAUCCGUGAGUAGGUGAUUUUCUCAUCUGUUCUCCUGUCCUUCACCAGUUCAAGUGUGGCCCGAGCAAUGGAAACUUUGAUUGGUUGAUAUCUGCCUCUCUCAACUUCUAACACAUCUGCCAGCAUAUUCAUAUCCACAACAUAGUCUUGUUCUUUAACGCUGAAGGAGAAUCUAUUUGCAUCCAAAAAGCUAAGAUUUGAAUAGAAAUAUGCAGUCAAUUAAGCAUAAGCCUCAGUUGAGUCAGAGCAAAACUUUUCAAGUUGAAGAUAACUGAACUUUUCCCUCAAGUUUACUUUCACAGCAUCCAGAAAAUCAAAGUCCACACUCCUAGGGUUUAUUACCCCAUGCUUCAGCAAUUUCGAGUACAGAUCCUUUUGUUCCUUUGAUCUGAACAAAUCUCCCCUUUUUUCCUUGAAUUUCAGCUGCUUCAGUUGAAAUAGACUGAACAGAUUGUCAUCGUCAUUUCCAUCUACAGGAUUCGGUCCCCAGUCACGAGGAUCACUUGGGAUAUUCGCAAGGGUUUCCUCAGCCACCCCUUUACGAGCGAUUCCCAAACUUUCCAUUUUUCGCAGAAAGAUAUAUUCGUUCCUAUAUCCUUUGUCUCUAAGAAACUCAUCAACAUAGUUCAAAGGAGUAUGAAUUCCUUUUAAGGCACGAUAUAGCUUGUAAAUAAAAGCGGGCUUUUGAACUCUUACGGGGUCUGCAUCCUCGAUGAUUUCUUCUUGAAGCUGAUGAACAACGCCUUGAGGACUAGAUGGAGGAGACUGACGCUGCUGAGAAUGUUGUGGGCUCGGUUGCUGAUCUGGAGUAACUUCAUCUUCAGUAAGAUCGAAGUGUGUAGGCCCCUCACUCAUUCUCUGUGGUCCCCUGCUUGCGAUUCUUGAGGACUUUCGUGAAGAUGACAUCUUUCUCAGUGUUUGGAAGAUUCCUUACUUGACUUUCCCAGAAAAGAUGACAACUUUUUGAAGAUUGAGCGAAGAAGACAAACGGGAAUUGAGGAUCGAUGCUUUCUAGGGUUUUUGAGAGAAAAGUGAAUAGAAAAGUGAAGAGAAAUCGACAGUGCACAAUCGGUUAAAAAGAAGAGUAAACGAACCGUUACAAAGGAAAUGAAAAUAUGCCUUUUCAAAAUAACUGUCUUUAUCCGCAAAAAUAGCUAUUUCAAAAAUAACUUCCCUUUUGAAAAUGAAUCGAUGCAAUAUUUACGUUAAUUAAAUAUAGCAACAAUUUAAACAUAGCCUGAUGAUUGUACCUUUUCAAGAUAAGAUUGGAGAGAGAGAAAGACUUACAGUCUGAAGGUCGAGCCAAGACAGUAGAUAAAGUCUUGUUAGCCUGAGUCUGACAGUCUUUAGACUUUGAUAUCCUCAUACCUCAAAAUGUUGAGUCUGGACCGUAUAUACUCAAAUUGAUUUUUCUCCAAAGGCUUUGUGAGUAUAUCAGCCAGUUGAUUCUUUGAGUCAACAAAUUGAAUUGAAACAUCUCCAUUUUGAACAUGAUCUCUAAUAAAGUGAUGUCGAAUCUCUAUAUGCUUUGCUCUUGAGUGGAGAAUUGGAUUUUUGGUGAGGUUGAUAGCGCUGGUGUUGUCACAAUUAAUCUCCGUGCAUGAGUCUUCAAUUUCAAAAUCUCUUAGCUGUUGUUUUAUCCAUAGAAUUUGCGAACAGCAGCUUCCAAGAGCUACAUACUCUGCUUCUGUUGUUGAAAGAGACACAGUGAUUUGUUUCCUUGAAAACCAAGACACUGUCCUGCUUCCAAGCAACUGGCAAGUUCCUGAAGUGCUCUUUCUAUCAACUCUGCAACCGGCCAGAUCUGCGUCUGAAUAUCCCAGAAGAUUAAAGUCUCCCUUCUUAGGAUACCAAAGACCGAUGCUUGAUGAUGAAGCAACGUAUUUAAUGAUGCGUUUCACAGCACUGAGAUGAGAUUCUCUAGGAUCUGAUUGAAACCUAGCACAGAUGCAAACACUCAACAAAAUAUCAGGUCUAGAGGCAGUAAGAUAAAGAAGUGAUCCAAUAAUGCUCCUGUACAGCUUUUGAUCAACUUUCUUCCCUUCUUCAUCUUUGUCUAUCUUUAAAGAACUUGACAUUGGUAUGUUGACCUUUUUGCACUUUUCCAGUCCAAACCUUUUGACAAGAUCAUUAACAUAUUUUUCUUGAUAAAUAAAAGUUCCUUCCUUCAAUUGUUUUACUUGAAGACCAAGAAAGAAUGUUAACUCUCCCAUCAUACUCAUUUCAAACUCAUCCUGCAUAGACUUUGAAAAUUUCUUGCAAAGACUUUCAUUAGAGGAUCCAAAAAUAAUAUCAUCCACAUAUAUUUGAACAAGUAAGAAACUUUUGUUUUCCUUCUUGAUAAAUAAAGUCGUAUCUACUUUACCUUUGACAAAACCAUUUUGUAUUAGGAACUUACUUAAUCUGUCGUACCAAGCUCGAGGUGCUUGCUUUAAACCAUACAAAGCCUUUUUCAGUCUAAAAACUGAGUCUGGCUUCUUUGGGUCUUCAAACCCUGGUGGUUGUUCCACAUAAACUUCCUCAUGGAUAAAUCCAUUUAGGAAGGCGCUUUUGACGUCCAUUUGGAAUAACCUGAAAUUUUUAUAACAAGCAAACGCAAGUAAUAGUCGAAUAGCUUCUAACCUUGCCACUGGAGCGUAAGUCUCAUCAUAGUCUAUUCCUUCUUCUUGCGUAUAUCCCUUGGCCACGAGUCUUGCUUUAUUUCGUACGACUUUUCCUUUCUCGUUCAUCUUGUUUCUGAAAACCCAUUUAGCUCCAAUAACAGUUUUACCUUUUGGUUUGGAUGUCAAUUCCCAGACAUCAUUUAUGCUGAACUGUCUGAGCUCUUCUUGCAUAGCUUCAAUCCAGCUUUCAUCAGAUAAAGCUUCUUCUAUGCUCUUUGGUUCAAUUUCAGAAACGAGUGCCACAGCACUAGACUCUUCUCGCCUUUUGGAUCUGGUGCGAAUUCCUUCAUUCAUUUCGCCGAUUAUAAGAUCUUUGGGAUGACUGGAUUUAUGCUUCCAGUUACUCGUUGAUUUGUCUAAUUGAUGAUCUCUCUCUUUGAUUGAAUCUUCACGAACAUCCUUAUUCUGGUUUUCCAGAGUCUGAGAUGCUUCUUGAGUUGUAGACUUUGGAGGGUCUGGAGCAGGUUCAGACUCUUCUUGAUGAGUCUGACUUGAUUCAUCUUGCGUUGAGUCUUGAAAUUUGACAUUCAUUGACUCCUCCACAGACUGGCUCUUCUUGUUAUAGACUCUGUAGGCUUUGCUUGAUGUAGAAUAUCCAAGGAAGAUACCUUCAUCUGAUCUUUCUUCAAACUUACCAACUCGAUCUUUUGCAUUUUUCAGUAUAAAACAUUUGCAACCAAAUACAUGAAAGUAUGAAACAAUAGGCUUCUUUUCUUUGAAUAACUCAUAAGGGGUUUUCUGAAGAAUAGAUCUUAAGAAGACUCUAUUGAUGAUAUAGCAUGCUGUUGAAACAGCUUCAGCCCAAAAUUGAGAAGAAAUUUUACUUUCAAUUAAAAGAGUUCUAGCCAUUUCUUGAAGAGAUCUGUUCUUUCUUUCCACAAUUCCAUUUUGUUGAGGAGUAUAUGGAGAGGAAAACACAUGCUUACAGCUAGAUUCAUCACAUAAUUUUGUAAAAUCUUGAUUUUCAAAUUCGCCUUCAUGAUCUGUUCUUAUACUAGAGGUAACACAUCCUUUUUCAUUUUUAACCAAUUUAGCAAAUUUUUCAAAAUACGAAAAGGUUUCGGACUUACUUGCAAGGAAAUAUACCCAAGUAAAACGGGAGUAAUCAUCAACAAUUACUAGGCAAUACUUCUUACCCCCAAUACUUUGAGUUCUGGUUGGUCCGAAGAGAUCCAUAUGCAGCAACUGUAGUACAUGAUUUGUAGAGACAUAAUUAAUUGGCUUAAAAGAAUUUCUUACCUGCUUUCCCAGAAUACAUGGAGUGCAUGAAUCAGUCUUUUGGUAAGGCAAUCUGGGUAGUCCUCGAACAAGCUGUUUUGAAGAGAUUUUGGCUAAUUGCUUCAUGUUGACAUGACCAAGCUUUUUGUGCCAUAAGCUUGCUUCAUCUUGAAUUGAGAUAAGGCAUUGCGAUUCAUUUGGUUUCACAUCCAGAAGAUAGAUAUUUACAUGUCUUCGACCCAUGAAAGACUGAGUAGAGUCUUUACUGAUUCCAGAACAUGUUCCUUCUUGAAAGAAGAUCUUGAAACCAGUAUCACACAAUUGACUAAUGCUGAGAAGAUUGUAAUUGAGUCCUUCCACUAAGGAAACAUUACUUAUUGUGAGAGUUCCAAUUUUCACGGUUCCAAAUCCCACAAUACUUCCUUUGCUGUUUCCUCCAAAUGAAACUUUUCCACCAUUUACUCGAGAAAUCUUUAUAAAGCAAUUUGAGUCUCUUGUCAUGUGUCUUGAGCAUCUGCUGUCAAGAUACCACUUUACCUGUUUCUUGACGGAGACCUCAAAUUCACUGUCUGAGUCUGAUCCUGAGUCUGAUCCAGAGUUUGAGUCUGAUUGUGCCAUCAGACAUAGAUUGGCAUAUUCAUUAUCACUUUCUUCACACUCAAUAUCACUCCAGGUUUCGGCUUUGAGAGCUUUUCGAAAUUUUUCAGCUUUUCCUCUCUUCUUCUUCAGAAGAGGACAGUUGGGUCUGAUGUGUCCCUUUUUCUUGCAUUCAAAGCAGACUACAUCUUUAUUUGGUUCCUCAUCAUCAACAGACUUGGUCUGCUGUCUUUGAAAGCUUUGUUUCUUUGAGUUGAACCUUCUUCCUUUUCUAUUUAGUUUUCUGAAUCUUCUUAUCAUGAGAGCAAGCUUCUCAUCGUCCAUAUCAUCUUCAGAAUCUGUAUCAUCAGAAUCAUCAUUUGAUUUUAAUGCAAUGGAUUUCUUACCUUUUGGAUCUUCAUCUUCAUUGAUCCUUUCCACUUCAUAGGACUGAAGAGUUCCAAUCAGCUCGUCGACAGAUAGUGGCAUGAUUCUCUGCGUCUCUCUUAUCGAAGUCUUUAUGUGAUUCCAAUCCCUGGAGAGUCCACGCAGUAGCUUGUUUACCUUCAUGGGAUCAGAAGUUGGUUGACCUUGAUUUUCAAGACCAUUCACAAUAUCUGUAAAACGACUAAACAUGUCAGAUAUUGAUUCUCCUGGUUUCAUUCUGAAGGCUUCGUAUUGACCGAGAAGAAUGUUGAUUCUAGUUUCCUUCACUCGAUCUGUUCCUUCAUAGGUGAUAUGCAAUCUGUCCCAAACUUCUUUUGCUGUACCACAAGAAGAUAUUCUAUUAUAUUCAGUUGGUGAUAAAGCACAAUAUAAGGAGUAAAUUGCUUUUGCAUUGAGUGUCUGUCUCUUGAUUAUUUCUUCCUGAGACAUUCCGCUGGUUUCUUCAGCUUCUUUUCCUCUUUCAGAGACUGAUGCAGUGGUAGGAGUAAUUCCUUUUUCUACAACAUCCCAUUCCAGAGGAUCCUUUGAUCAUAGGAAAGCUUUCAUCUUGUUUUUCCAGAUGUUGUAAUCCUUUCCAUCAAAGUAGGGUGGUCUGGUAUUGCUUUGCCCUUCCAUCAGCCCUGGUGCUAACAUACUAGCCAUGGAUCUUUAACUCUGAAGUAAAACACUUCAAACAAAGUGAGUACACGAGCUCUGAUACCAAUUGAUAUUGCUAGUAUGAGUACCUAGAGGGGGUGAAUAGGUGCCUAAACAAUUUAUCGAUAUACGGAAGCGAUUCUUAACAUAUGAUAGAAAGUAAAUUCUCUCUUAAUUAACAAAAUGAAAUACGAUUGAGGUAGAGAGAGUGAGGAAGAAAAAAUUGAACAUAGGAUUUAUAGUGGUUCGGCUUAUUCCAAGCCUACGUCCACUCUUCCUCACUGACAGCCCACCGGCUGGAUUUCACUAUGAUCAAAAGAGAAGUUACAGCACAGCUUUGCCUUGAUUCCACAGUGUAGAUGUUUUACCACACCUCCUCAAGGUCUCUCACAAAUAUAGACUCUCUUUUGUAUACAAGUAUUCGCUCAAAGGAUUUAUCUAAACAAAUAGGAGCUUCAGACUUUGGAAUUCUUCUAUCGCGCACACCUCGAACAACUAAGAACGUCUUCCUUAUAUACUCCUUUAUGCCAUCAUACCCGUUGGCACUUACCAAAGGAAUUCCUCCAAUCUACCCGUUGGACGGAAUCAAUUAGGAAGAUUGUUCGAGCUAUUAAAGGAACGUGUUGAUAGCCCAUCAAUCAUGUUCGCCCAUACAAUCAGGAUCUCGGUUUCCAUAAGUAGAACCUUCCAAUAAUAUUUAGACAAUCAUCGAAUCUUCAGUCAUUGAAUCAAUCUUGAUCAAUCAAAGGAUUCUGUUACGUCUUCUCCAGCUACGAGAUCUUCUCCAGAUGAUAAGGUUAAAUCCUGAACAAAACAACAAGUUCUGGAUAACCUUUCUUCAACGGAUUAGAGACUGUCAAUGAGGAUAGACUUUGAGUCUUGAGUCUGGCUAUCCGGAAGUCUUCAGACUUUAAAUAACAGAGUCUGCAGACCUUCAGACUAGACUGAUGGAAACGUUUUGUCAACUUCAAAACACUUCAAGAAGAUUUCUCCAACACCUAUCACUAAAGUUAAAUCACAUGUAUAUGAUGUAUGCGAGAUGUAAAGAUUAUAUCCCUGGGAUGAGAGAGUUUCAAGGAUUCAAUUGAGUUGUGACCGCCAAAGUGGCACACUUGGUUGAGUUUGAGAAAUUUCGAUCUCGUAUAUUGAUUGGGAUGUCUCCUGGUCUAAUGCAUAGUCAUACUCCCAAAGGAAGUGAUUAUGUAUUAGUUCAUGGAGGGAUACAUGAUAGUGUGGUGGAGGAGUGACCGAUCCUAAUGGUUCAUAUACCCAAAGGUGAUGAAUUCACGAAGAUUGGAAUACAUUCUCAUAACCCUUAUCAUGUGGGGAGUGUACAAUUGCUUGUCAUGUAUUCUGCCCAAAGGUGAUUAUGUGAUUUUGCAUGUAACUCUCUGGAUGUGUACUUGUGCGUCAAGUUGCACAAUGCUCACAUAAUGCUAAUUGUAUAUAUUGCUUGUCUUUCAGUCACCUUUUCUGUAAAUGGUAACUCCGUCACCAUUGAGGUUCUUGCUGGUUCGAAUUUUAAGAGAUGGAGAGAUGAUUUUCUGUUUGCUAUGGAAAUGGCAGAUGUUCAUAUGGCUCUUACUAUUGAUCGGCCGGCAGUUUUGACUGCUGAGAGUACAGAGGCUCAAAAAGCAACUUUUGCUGCCUGGGAAAAGAGCAAUAGAAUUUGCUUGCUAUCCAUGAAGCGUUCCAUUCAGGAACACUUGAAAAGUGGUUUGCCUGCAGACUGCAAUGCUAGGCAAAUGAUGGAAGCUUUGAUGGCUAGAAACCGUGUGUCGCCUAAUGCUGAGAUAGGGACACAUAUGCAAACACUUUUUACUAUGAAAUAUGAUGGUUCUGGUCGAGUUAGAUAUUAUGUUAUGAGGAUGGUUGAUUUGCAAACAAAACUUCAGGUUCUCAAUGUUGAAAUUCCUACUGCUUGCAUUGUCCAUCAAGCUCUAAAUACUCUUCCUCCUGAUUUUGGGAUUAUUAAGACCAAUUAUAAUUCCCAAGAUGAAACCUGGUCUGUUAAUGACCUGAUUGCAAGGUUGGUGGCAGAGGAAGAGAAAUUAAAGAAAGAUAAAGGACAUAUUGCUCUUUAUGCUUCUAGUUCUGCUAGUGACAAGGGUAAGAAGGUGAAAACUUAUACCCAUAAAAGCAAUUCAGAAGUUGCUGGUCCUUCCAACAACAAAGGAAAUUCUGAAGGAGCAGGUCCUUCUAACACUCUGGGUCCUAAGAAGGUAAUCAUCAAGAAGGAUGGUGUUCUUUGCUACUUUUGUAGGGAGAGAGGACACGUGAAGAAAUGUUGUAGCAAGUUUAAGGCUUGGUUGUCUAAGAGAAAUAAGAGAGAGCCUAAAGGUAAUGAUUCUUUGGCAUUAGUUUAUGAAUCCAAUCUAUCUGUAGUUCCAACCAAUUCUUGGUGGCUAGAUAGUGGUGCAACUAAUCAUGUUGCAUUUACUAUACAGGGGUUCAUAAACCGAAGGACGCCAACUCAGGAUGAAUCAAAGCUCACUGUUGGAAACAACGUUGGAGUUGACGUUGAGUUCGUGGGAGAUGUUAUUUUGAUUUUAGAUUCUGGUUUUCGGAUGGUGUUAAGAAACACUUUUUACAUACCUUCUUUUAGGCGGAAUUUAGUUUCUAUGUCUUGUUUGGACAUGUGUGGAUACUCUUUUGAAAUAAAGAGUAAUACUAUUUCCAUGUUUUUUUAUUCAAAUAAGAUUGGGUGUUGCAAUUUAUUCGAUGGAUUAUAUCGAUUGAGCUUAUCUCCCAACGACAUAUACGUUGCUUAUUCUGCUGAAAAGGUUGUUUCCAAACGACCUCUACCUAAGGAACAGUCUUAUGCAUUGUGGCAUAAACGUCUUUGUCACAUCUCUAAAGACAGAGUAAAAAGGCUUAUAAAGGCUGAUAUCUUGCCUACUCUUUAAGAUGAUCAAGAGACUUGCGUAGACUGUUGCAGAGGUAAGAUGACUAAGAUAAAGAAAAAAUAUGCUGUACGAAGUUCAGACUUGUUGGAGGUUAUUCACACUGAUAUUAGUGGACCAUACAUGGCUACUUUGUGCAGAAAUUUUUAUUUCAUCACAUUUAUUGACGACUAUUCCCGAUAUGGAUACUUAUACUUGAUUAAAGAAAAGUCCGAGUCUCUUGAUAAAUUCAAGAUUUUUCGGACUGAAGUGGAGAAACCAUUGGGAAAAGUUAUUAAGAUUGUCAGAUCUGAUCGCGGUGGUGAGUAUUUUGGUAGGCACGGUGAUGCCGGUCAACUUAAAGGGCGGUUUGCUAAAUACUUAGAGGAUUCUGGGAUAAUAGGUCAGUUUACUAUGCCCGGAAGUCCUGAACAAAAUGGUGUAGCUGAAAGGCGGAAUCGUACUCUUAUGGACAUGAUGAGAAGUAUGAUAAGUAGGACCAAUUUACCUAAUUUUCUGUGGGGAGAAGCUUUGAAAACAACUCUUUAUAUUCUAAAUCGUGUUCCUACUAAAGCAGUUCCAUUGACCCAUUUUGAGUUAUGGACUGGACGUAAACCUAGCUUAAAUCAUUUUAAAGUUUGGGGAUGUCCAACAGAAGUGAAGUUAUAUAAUCCAACAUUGAGUAAACUGGAUUCCAAAACUACUCGAUAUUACUUUGUGUCUUACCCAGACCAUUCAAAGGGGUAUCGCUUUUAUAACCCUAAUGGAGGUACAAGAAUUGUGGAAUCUCAGACUGCAAAAUUUCUAGAAUUUGAUGUAGCUGAAAAGGGUAGCUGCUCACAAGCUAUCGAAGAUGAUAGUAUGGUGGGGAUUACUGGAUCUCUGUCUCAUCCUGUGCAGACAAUUAUGGAGCCUCUUGCGCCUCAAAAUGAGCCUAUUGUGGCCCAUGAUCCUAUUGUUGAGACAGUUCCUGAUGAAAUUCCUCAUGCCCCUCAAAUUCAGAAUGAGGUUGACGUAGCUCCACUCAGAAGAUCAACUAGAGAAAGACGUUCAGCUAUACCGCCAGACUAUCUAGUCUACCUGGGAGAGCAUGAUUAUGACAUAGGCUGUGUUGUUGAUCCCGUGACUUAUACUGAAGCCAUCUCAUGUCAUCAAUCAGAUUUGUGGUUAGAUGCAAUGAAAGAUGAGAUGCUAUCUAUGAAACACAAUGGUGUUUGGGAGCUUGUUGAAUUGCCUGAAGGUUGUAAACCUAUUGGCUGCAAAUGGGUAUUCAAAACCAAAAGGGAUUCCAAAGGAAAGAUUGAAAAGUUUAAAGCCAGACUGGUAGCUAAGGGUUUCACUCAAAGAGAAGGAAUAGAUUAUGAAGCAACAUUUUCUCCAGUUUCUUCUAAAGAUUCCUUUAGAGUGAUCUUAGCAUUGGUAGCUUAUUACGAUAUGGAGUUACACCAGAUGGAUGUUAAGACUGCUUUUCUAAAUGGAGACCUUGAUGAGGAGGUUUAUAUGGUGCAGCAAGAAGGUUUUGUAGCAGAUGACUCAGGUCAGCUUGUUUGUAGAUUGAAAAAGUCUAUUUAUGGCCUUAAGCAAGCUUCUAGACAGUGGUAUUUCAAGUUUCAUAAUGUUGUUACUUCAUUUGGUUUUAUUGAGAACAAAGUAGAUCAGUGCAUAUACACCAAGGUCAGUGGGAGGAAAUAUAUUUUUCUCAUACUUUAUGUAGAUGAUAUCUUGCUUGCUAGUAGUGACAUUGGUUUACUGCAUGAGACAAAGCGGAUGUUAUCGAAAAAUUUUGACAUGAAAGACCUUGGUGAUGCGUCUUUUGUUCUUGGCAUUGAGAUCAAUAGGGAUCGCUCAAGCCGUUCAUUGGGUUUAUCUCAGAGGGCAUAUAUUGAUCGCACUUUAAAAAGAUUCAAUAUGCAGGAUUGCAAACCAGGAAUUGCUCCUGUUGUUAAGGGUGAUAAAUUGAGUAUUUCACAAUGCCCUAAUUCAGAUUUUGAGAAAGCUCAAAUGAAGGAUUUGCCUUAUGCUAGUGUGCUUGGAAGCAUCAUGUAUGCUCAAGUUUGCACUAGGCCAGAUAUUGCUUUUGCAACAGGGCUUCUAGGCAGAUAUCAGUCUAAUCCAGGACGCGAUCACUGGAUUGCUGCCAAGAAGGUUUUAAGGUACUUAAAAAGAACAAAAGAUUAUAUGCUGAUUUAUAAAUAUGUUCCAGACCUGCAACUAGUAGGGUAUUCAGAUGCAGAUUUUGCUGGUUGUCAAGAUGAUAAGAAAUCAACGACUGGAUACAUAUUUAUGUUGGCAGGAGGUGCAGUAUCAUGGAAGAGCGAGAAACAGAAAUCCAUAACUUCUUCAACCAUGCAAGCGAAGUUUGUAGCAUGUUUUUCAGCUGCUACUUAAGCUAUUUGGCUCCGGAACCUCAUUAGAGAGUUAUCAGUUUAUGGUUUUGUAGAUAGACCCAUACAGUUAUAUUGUGACAAUAACUCUGCAGUGUUGUUUAUUAAUAACAACAGAAGUUUAAAGGGGUCUAAACACAUGGAGGUCAAGUUUUUGACUAUAAAAGAAUCAGUACAGAAUGGUGACGUUGCGGUAGAUUAUAUUCAUACAGAUGAUAUGGUUGCAGACCCACUAACUAAAGGCCUACGCCCGUGUGUUUUUUAUCGACAUGUCAUUAGUAUGGGCCUAGGAGCAUCUUGGGAUGCUGUUAUUUAGUGAGAGCUGUGUUUUUAUUUUUCUUUGAAUAAAGUUUACAUCUGUUUUGUUACAAUUUAGUAACACUUUGAUAUAUAUAUAUAUAUAUAUAUAUAUAUAUAUAUAUAUAUAUAUAUUGUAAAAGUCUCAAGGUAUUACUUAAACCUUGAGUGAAGGCUAGGGGCAUCCGGGCAUCCGGUUAUUAGCCUUGUGCAUAUGUCUUGUAAUACAUAAAGAAAGGUUAACCGUAAGGACAAGACAUAUGUGGGUUCAUUGGAACCAUAAAGCAUUCUCUAGUGGCACAAGUUUUUGUGACACCUAAAGUUAAGAGAAUGGUGACUGACAAAUGGGGUCCCUCUAUGAGAGAUGUUAUCCAUUUGCCACACUACCAUAUUGAAUCCAUAUCAAUAAAGUUGAGAGCACUUGUGACCAUGGAAGGCUCUGUGUGUAUACAUGCAGUUACCGCCAUGAUUCGGUGUUUGAGGCUUUAUGGGAUAGGAUUGACUAUUAAGAAUUAUCUCUGGACCAAUGUGCGCACAUACAGUACGAUUUCAAUUAAUAUAAUCCAAGUGGGAGAAUGUAAGAGUUUUUCUAAUUGUGGACUACAUUAAUUGAUAUUGUAAUUUACCGUUUAACGUUUAUCGUUUUACGGGGUUUGGUCUAAGGUGAGAUGGUAGGUUUCUUAAUUAGUCUAAUAUGGGCUGGCUAGUAUGGGCCGAGUUGAGCCUGGCCCGUAAUGAGGGGGACUGGCUGGAAACUCUAUAAAUAGUGCUCAAGUCUCUCCUCUAACCAAAAUUCUCACAUAUAUUCUCACCUAAGGGACGUUUACCUAACGCUACACGUGAGGAGGGGGUGAUUCAGAGGGCAAUAGAGGAGAAGGACUUGCGUGUGGAACAUUGUGUUUCCGCUUCCGCUUCAAGAACAAUGGAUUCCAAAACAGGUGCGUCAAUUCUUUCUACUUAAUCAUGCAUGUUUUUGUUCUAGUUAUGGAGAUCUUGGGGUUUGCGCAAUCUGCGUCUAAUAGGCCUCGCUCAAACUCCAUCAAAAAAGUUGAGAUGAAAAGCGAAAAACUCGUUUUGAAAAUUGAAAGAAAAGCAUCGUGUCGAAUCUGGCAAGCAAGAAACCCACUUCACCUUUCGAGCACAGAAAAAGCCAAAGCCAGCGCAAUUGGUGGGAGAGGCCAUCGCGAUGGAGGCAAAAUCCUGCCACAAGGGAAAAGCCCCUGGUUGCAGGAAGCUUCCGCCUUCAACGAUGGCGGCCACCACCAAAUUAGGGGAUCUUGGAAAUUAAAACGUCUUUGGCAGCUUCGGAGGCCGUAGCUGUGGUUGCCUUCGCUCGCGGCCUGGGCAGGGCCGAAAAGAUGAAAAUAUUGGUGAAAAGGGAGAGACCAAAGACGAGGAAAAAGGAAGCACACCGGAAACUGCACGCUAACCAGACGGCUUUUCUCUCUCCUCUCCUUUUCUUUCUCCUCUCUGUGUCUCUGUGUCUCUGUCUCUCUCUCUCUGGAGCCCUCCCUUUCACGUUCAGACUAUAUUAUAUAUAUUCUAUUAUAGAUUUGACCCAAAGAUUAGAGGGACUGAUCAUUAACAAGGGCGGCAAAAAGAAGAGUUUUUAAUGCUAACUAUUCUGAUCUGUCUGUUGAAUUCUUGCUUAAGCCAGCAACAGCAUGGAAACUUCAGAUAUUAAAAGGGAAACAGAUAAGAAAUUUUCAUCUUCAUUCUUUUGUGUGGAGGAAAAUCAAUCGUGGAAAUGUGUUUGGUUCAAUACGCGUUUUGCAACUUCAGAGAUUGAGAACAGGAGAGAGGAAAUAUUUUCAUCUUCAUUCUUGUGAGAGAGAAAAUAAUCGUGGGAAGGCGUUCUGACACUGGAAAAGGAGACAAAAAGGAAAUUUUCAUCUCCGACUGCUUGACUUUUCUGCCGAUAAUAUAUUAAUUAAGUAUUUUGGUAACAACAGAAGCGUGUCUUAGAGCACUUGUUAGGUUACACCGUUACAGGUUUAUUCAAUAUGGAAGUUUUGAUUUAUAAGGCGUUAAUAAUAUACCACACGAGAAAAACGGAGUAUUAAAAGCUGCAAACGUUCUUGACAUGGCUUCUCAAUAAGUAUCUCAGCUUCGACCCCCCCAAAAAAACGAAAAAAUAUCACGGCCAUGGGCACUUUCUUUACGUUUUAUGACAAAAUCCCUCUGAUAAAAGUCAUCAAAUGGUGUACAAUAAAAUCCGCAAAUAUGCUAUCUAAUAAUUGUGUUUUCUCCCUCAAAAUUAUAAUAAAUGAUCGUUAUCGGGCUCGUGGACUCUUUUAGGGUUUCAUUAUCAAAGGGGGAACUUAGUAGAAAGUUGAAUUUGGUAUUAUGAGAUGCUGACAAGCUAUAGUUUUCUCUGGAUUUGUUCUAACAUCACUGAAAAUUGAUUAGAAUAUAAUAAACUUACUAGCAUGGAAGCACCGAAUUCAUCUGACUUGGCUUAAUUUGGGGUGAUAUUAUUAACUACAAGACUUUUCUAAUACACUAGCCAAUGUAUGUUAACUAUUAUAGUUGCGUAAUGAGUUACUUUAGCUUUUGCAGUCAAGCACACAAUAUCAAUCUGAAAAUAAAGCAUCGAAACUCUUUGUUUACUUAAUUAAUUUGCACUAAGCAUGGUGCCUCUUUUUCCGAAUUCCUUUUUUUUUUUAAAGAUAUAUAUUGAAAAAUUUGGAGAACUCUUCUACUGCAUUUGAUUUGCAUUAUCUAUUUAUAAAAUCAAAAGUCCGCUUAUUUCGCUGGAUUUUAAAUAUAUCUCUUAUUCUUCAUCGCCCGUGUAUAGGCUAUCGCAUUAGACUUAGAAACUAGCAUGAUGUGGUUUUUAAUGUGUUUAUGUAAGGUGUAGGGGCCGUGUGAUUCUAUCGCACUGGUUGAUAACGUUAUAAUUCCAUGCGUCUUUGCGUUGAUUUCAAGCCAAUUUUACUUGUGGUCACCGUAGUGAAAUUUGUGAUCAAGUUGCUAGGUUUUGAUUUCAAUCUCCAAAUAUAUAAUGUUGAACCUUUUUUCCGAUUGAUGUCCUUUGAAGAAAUCGAAUUAUUUUUCUAUUAAAAUAAUCUUAGAAUUGGUGAUUUGUUCAGUGAGUCAAUUGUUCUCCAAAAGAUCAGUCGGUACAUUAAUUGCAAACAAUCUUACAUAUAAUUAUUGGGCAAUUAAAUUCAAAGUUCGAGUAACCUAAUUAUAAAUUUUCCCAAAUUUCUAUGGUGGAGUUAAAUUACCACUAAUUUCUAUGUGAUCACAAGUAAACAUGACUUUCGCCCCGCAAAAUGAAACUUUAUUUCUACUUCGGCCAAAUAGCCCAUCUAGUCGUCAACCCAGAAAACUAGCGGAUGUCUUUGAGCAAACCGGCCAUUCAGGUGGGAGGUGCCAGGUUCCAAUCUUUUGGCACAUUAUCCCAAUAAUUACUUUUUCCAAUCUUUUAUCAAACUAUCCUUUCUUUCUUUCCUUAUUGUCCGCUCAAAUAUUAAUCUAAUAAUAUCUAACAAAUCAAUAAAAAAAAAAUCCAAGAACUAAACCUUUAUUGUGGUUUGAUGUAAUUAUUAAAGGGUCAACACUAUGGUUUAUUUUCCGAUAUUGAAAAUUAACAUGAUGAGAAUAGACAUAUUCUUACUUCGGAUGUAAAUACAUCAACUUUGAAAAUUCCUUAUGUAAUAAAUUCUUCUUGGCAUUGACUGAUACUUCAUCCGUGUAAUUUUUAAAUGCUAUAUCAAAAUUAAAAUUUUAUUUUGAGACCUUGUCAUUGAUUAUACUCUAAUCAAAGCUUGUUAGAAUAGUACACACUAUCCCAGUAUAUGCCAUUUUAAAUUGCCUUAUUGAGAAAAGAUUAAUGUUAAAUGUAAGUAUGCAGUUGUACAGCGCCCUGGACAUUAAAUGUCCAGCGCCCUGGACAUUAAAUGUCCAGCAUAGGGACAAAGUACUGGUUGAAUCCUCGUUAUGUCCCCUUUUAUCCCUCGGAGAAGCCUCACCAUUAAAUCCCCGGCUAUUGCUCAAAUCAAGCGUGGGAACAAGAACGUCAACCCUCUGUUCGAAAGCUUCUCCGUGAAAUCCCCCCUCUAAUUUGCAUUCGCUGUGAGCUCUUUGCCUCUCGUGCUGAGGUGAAAGAAACAUCAACCCUCUUUGUUAGAAAGCUAGCACAAAUCAAUGUCGGACAUCAACUCUACUUCAACUGAAGCUCAGAGGUUAGUUUUACAUUCAACAACUCGAAAUUUACAUCGAUUACUACUCUUCAUUUGCUUGCGUACAUAUAUGUCGUUCCUUAGGAACCAUAUCCUCCUUUGCAUCAUGAGCUUUUAGGGCACUGGGCUUUAUAAGUUUCUUGGAACUUUUAUUUGCACAAACUUUCACAAAAUCGAUCCAUUUUGAUCAUGAGUCAUUCAUCAGUUUAAGACUUAUUAUAGAGACCUUUUUUUCUUGAUGUAAUUAUCAUAAGGACUUUGCAUGUCAUUGAUACUAACUUUUGAGUGCUAUUUUUGAUUGGCAAAUAACAUGUCGUAAUGCAAUCUAAUUCUCACCAUCAUGUACACUUAAUUUUACUAUGUGGAUGAGUAAGCUUCCAUUGAGCAAGAUUUAAGCCGUUCCUACUACAAGCUUGUAUUAUUUAUUUGUACCUUAAAUAAAUAAUUUUAGAUUUUGUUGUUAUUUUUGGUAGAGGCGGAGGACAAGAAGAUGCCAUCAUUGAAAAAUUGAAAGAUUUCUUGACAUCCUCGCUUAGAUGGUCACUUGCUUUUCUUGGAGUCAAGGAUUUACUUAUAAACAAGCAAUUGACCUUCGUCGUGAUUUCCAUAGCUCUCAUAAUUCUUUUCGGCAUCAGUUCACGAACAACACGAGGCAAUCGUGGAAUGAUAUUCAUCAAUUUUGCGUUUCUUGUACUUGGAUGUCUCAUUGUUGGAAUAACACUCAACUCGAUUGUACCAAAUUCUUAUAUCAAGUGGGCUAUCUAUGGUAUAUUCCUUGCUAUGGUAGCUACAAAUCCCGAUUAUCAACAAUUUUUUCAAGAGAUGAAACAAAUCAUCAAGUCUAUGUGCGGAGCAACUUAUUUGAGACUCAGAGACUUGUUCAUUGAUUCACUUGGGUUCAUCGAAAAUCUUUUGAAAAUUAAUGUUGCAAACCAAGAAGAAUCAUCAAUGAAUAAUACCAUUGCAACUCAAUCGGUGGAUGGCAACGGUGGUGGAGACGAGGAGGACAUUGCCUAGUUGGUCUCGUGAUAGAAUUUGUCACCAUUUAUCUUUUUUUUUUUUUUUCCUUUGCAUUGUAAGGUGUUUGAACGAUAUGUAAAAUGGAUAUAUGAGGUUUUCCCCUGUUUACGUGUUUGUACUAUAUGCAAAUAUGUGGUCAAAUUAUAGUAGUUUUUUCGUUCAUACAUUAAAAUUGCAACUUUGCAUGUUUACUCCAUUUUCAUGAAAUUGUGAUUGAUCACUUUUUCUUUCAUAGCAUCAUUUACAUCAAUGCUGCAUUUUAAGUUACGGUUUUGAUUUUGAACGGUCACAUGUCUGGAUUUGAAGCAAUACUUAAUCUAUAAUAGGAAAAUCCAUUUUGAUGACCCUAAAGUCAAACCUACAUAGGAAUUGAAUGUGAAAUGCUAUAUAAAACAAGCACAUAUGCACAUGCACACCUGGUCGUGUGUGUAGUCCCACCUUUUGUAUGAGCAAUCAAUCGGAGGAUCAAUCAAACCCUCCCAUUACGAGCCGGAAAAGGCGAAGCUAAGAAGGAAGUUUUGUGAACUCUCAAUAUGCUUUUCUCAAAGUUAUGGCAAGAGGAAAUGUCCGGGCUGAAAAGAAGCUGCUAUUUGACAAAAAGGAGAAUCGUCCGAGGGGGGGGGGGGGGGGGGGCGAAUGGUAAAUGAGAUUGAACUAUGCGCGAUGACAAAAAGCUGGCAUUUUCGUUGACUUGACUCGCUGCAGUCUUUCAUUAUCUUAAGGAGUUAAUCUGAUUGAUUACAACACAUGCUCUUGAUCUAAUAUAGUCACAGGAUCACGGCAUGCACUAUUUUACAUUGCUUUAUUCUUAAAAGAUAAAUGUCAAAUGUAAAUAUCUAAAUUUUCUAACAACUGGAACAUUAUGACGAUUUAUAUUGUGAUAACGUGCUGCCACAAACUCAAGACGAUCCAUGUCUUGAGUUUGUUGGGAGGAGGUUGGGACCAACCGAGGAUCCACAUCCGGUCAAAUGGAUUUUGUAUGGAUCCAAUGGGGUCCCCUUUGAAAAUCAAGGGGGUGUCAUGUCCCCAUCAGACAUGGGACAUUGAAAAUCAAGAGUGUCAAGGGCGUAUCGGCGUACCGCCAUCUGAUGUAGAACACUGAAAAUCAAGAGGAUUAAUAUUAACUUCACAAGGCUUCUAUGUACGCUGUCCAACGAAGUGUACGUUCCACUUCCUCUUUUUUAAUUUUUAAGAAAAACAAUAACAGGGUUCGUUGAACUCCAACUUUUCUAGAACAUGGUGGAUCAUAAGUACCAUUUGAAAGGUACAUAAUCCAUUCAUGCAAAUAUGCUCUAUGAACUCUGCUCAAAACACGGACUAAGUAGCUAGUUUUUUUUUUUUUUUCUUUUGAAUAUGUUUUUCUUUCAAAUUAAUACAUUCUUGAUUUGGUAAAAGGACAACUAGUAACCACAACAACAGCAACAACAUGAAAGGUUUGACUCAACCAAAAGUUUCCACAUUACAUUCACCUCAUUGAAGCUACUUAUCAUCGCACAUUUCAAUUUAUAGCCUACUAGGGCGCUAAACACCAGAUUAUGCAGUUUUAUAUUUUUAGUGAGGUCAUCUAUCUCAUAGCAUUAAUCAAAAUGACCGGAUCCAUGAGGGCAAACUCAAUAAACUGGUACUUGUCCAUUGUUUUUGGGACUCUCUACUCCACAUUGCUACUUUAGACGAGCUUGUCUCUAACCAUGCGGUAGAUUGUCAACAUAAGCUCAUUAAUAUUUGCUUUGGCAUCAUCUUGUACGCUUGCAUGAGGUUUAAAUUGGUUUUUAGAGAUUGUUCAGUCAUAGAUAAUCUGCCAUUUUUCAAAGUGCUGUUUGAUUUUUUAAGUUGCUGCAAUCAUACUGUAUUUGUAAUAAAUACUUGUGAUGUAGAGAAAAAAACAUGCCAUCAUAUACAUGCUCUUUAUUUGGUGCAACUUAGUUAUUGCCAUUACGUAUGUGAAUAUUAAUAAUUCAUUUGAUUCUUUUCUUGGCCAUUUUUUUUCCUUCUAGUUUCUUCUGUGAAGUGUCUAUGAGCUUUCCAGGGGUCAAUUCCAUCAACUCAUACUUAAGAGUGUCGCAACCUACCCCUCAAUACGAAGGGAAUUAAGUUUAGGGUAUUGUCUAAAAGAUUGGCCUACGGCCUUAGUUUUGGACAUGAGCUCUCCUAAGUUUACACCUCACGUGAUAUUGAGUGUUCAAAUUGAUACUGUGAGGAUUUUUUAAAAAUGAGUUGCUACUAUUCUAUUAGGGCCAGUUAGAAACUAAGUGAGGUAUAAGAGUGUGCCUCACUUCUUACACAAUUAAAGAAUCUAGGGUCUAAUUAAUCAAUUAGUGCCAUUAUGUUCAUUUUAGAAAGAAUUUUGUCAGAAAGUUUGGGUUGAUUUUAAACAUAUUCACUAAUUUGUGAGGUGAUUAUACUAGUGUAUAAUCAUUAAAGUAAUAAUCAACAACCAAGAAAAGCAUUACAUAAAUUGCAAGGAUGUAACAUUCCUAAAUAGGGAGCAUUCCAUCUCUAAUUAAGCUUAAGGAAGGCCAUGUGUGCAAUCUCGCGAUAAUUGAAAUGGAUAUGUGCAAGCAACGACAUAUCAUUUGUCUCUAAGAAUACUCAAAUCAUGAAGCCCUAAGAGUUUGUUCGAUUUUGAGCACAUUUUUAUCAAGGAUUUUUGCUAGUGUAAAGCACGGAUGCAUUGCCAAAGUUCAUUACACAAAAGUUGUCCAUUACACUGUGGAAUGGAUGGAUAAGCAUUGGUCAGCUUUCGGCUUUGCUCGACCAUUUUUUAAAAGUUUUCUUGGCCUUUGCUUGGCCACUUUCAGGCCCACAUGUUUGGCCAGUUCCACCACACACACACACAACCAGUCCCGCCAAUUACCGGACUGUCCAACAGCCAACAAAACAAAACAUUCGACCAAAAAAGAAAAAAACCAACAAGACACGCUCUUUUUUUCGGUUCCUAACCAACAGAAAACAGAUGGCCGAAUGCUUUUGCAGCAUCAAAGCACAGUGCAGAAGUUCUCCAUGUAUUUUGAUUAGCACGGCCAACCUUGGCCAAUUUUCGGCCCAUUCUUGGCCUGUUCUAUUCUACCGAGCAAAACCGGUUCCACUAAAUUGUGGGGGCCGUUUGAGAAAAGUGUUACUUCGUCGGCUCUCUUGAGAUGAUGCGUCCAGUGUGGGGUGUAUUUUGAAAUAUUCCCCUAACGUAUUAUUCGCAUCAUUAAAAGUUGAUGCUAUAUGACGUAGUUUUAGUCUUUGGAUGCAAGAGCAAACUCGGAACUCAUAGAGAGCAAAAUAAAAGUCCGAUCAUAAUUUUUUUUUUUGGGUCAAUAAAGUUGACUAAGUUUAAAUGUGUAGAUAUAGAAGACAUAUUUUGACAUUUUAGAAGGGCCCAUCAAUGUUGAGGAGAGCAAUUUUUUCGUUUUUCAUUUGUUUUUGCACUAGAAAUUUAAAGAAGCAACAAUAUGCAAUUUAAGAAUGUAGAAAUAACAGAGUGAUGGUAAUUUUUGCAAAUGCUCGUAAUGAACUGACUUAUGGAGAGAAACCGUUAUAUCCAACAUGUAUGUUCAUAGUAAGAUUCAUGUGAUAACAUGUCAGCUUCUCCAUUUACUUUGCUAAGCAAUUUUUUUGAAGUAACACUUGCAUGUACGAUAUAUUAAAGUCAGUUCAAAAUGAAAUCGCCAUUCUAAAGUGAAUUCGAAUAGUUCAUAUAUCAUCUCCUUAGUUUCAACCUACAACAUGGAUAUUUUCAUGUGCUCUCGAAGCACGAUUUUUUCAGCUUGCUCAAACGAAAGUUCACAUGUUAAGUGAGUCUUAAAAGUGUGCAAGUCUUCAUCUCAUUUGAAGUAGUUAAGUGCCCCCAAAUCACCUUGUCUACGACUCGGUCCGGACCGGACCGGUCCAAAUGCUUAAGCCUCAAAACCCGGUCGGACCGGUGCGACUCGACCGCGCUUGCUCUAUCGACUUCCCUCCCAUUUUCUUCACUCCCCUCGAGCUUCUGUCAUUUCGCCACGCCCAAUCGCCAUUUUCGUCUCGAGAAUUCGCCGUGACCGCUCGAAUGGCGGCGAAGCGCCGCUCUCCCGCUUCCGACGCGGAGCCCGACGGAGCGGAGGCGAGCUCGGGCUCCGAACCGGAGCCUCCGAUGCUACCCGACCCAAAGGAGGCGACGCGCGUAUCGAAUUACGAGAAGCAGAGGCUGUCGAGGAUCGCGGAGAACAAGAGGAGGAUUGAGGCCCUGGGCCUCCGAAACCUGGCGAGUUCCGUGGUGGGUUCGAGUCGGAAGGCGAGAAAGGGUGACGCGAAGGGCAAAAAGGAAGGUGGGCGGCGAGGACGAUGACGACGACAACGACGACAAGGAUGGUGAUUACGCGCCUGCUUUGGACGGCGAUGGCGGCGAUGCCGAUGAUCUUAGCGUCGAC
This 66518-nucleotide long non-coding RNA is filed under the name Eucalyptus grandis. RNAcentral describes it as "long non-coding RNA (EGRA_LNC002725)". The record is from RNAcentral. Lineage: Eukaryota; Viridiplantae; Streptophyta; Magnoliopsida; Myrtales; Myrtaceae.